This 62318-nucleotide long non-coding RNA is filed under the name Coffea arabica (coffee). Its description in RNAcentral is "long non-coding RNA (CARA_LNC006220)". The record is from RNAcentral. Lineage: Eukaryota; Viridiplantae; Streptophyta; Magnoliopsida; Gentianales; Rubiaceae.
UUUUUUUUUUUUUUUGACAUAACAAGAAGAAAGUCCUGGAAAAGUCAAUGUUAAAACCUAUUGAGCCUUUCACAGGAAGCACUUUUAAUAACCAUAUAUAAACAAAACUUUAUAAAAAUAAUCCAUAUAUAAACAAAACUUUAUCAAAAUAAGUAGGAUAUAGCCAACGUUUUAUACUAUUGUCAAUUAGUACAUAAGAAAAUUUUGAACAAUUUGAAAUUGAUCAAAACUUUUUUCGUAGUUAAUUAUCUUUGUAAUGAUCUAAAUUUUUCAAGGUAAUUCUGAAACAAUGAUAGUGUUUAAAAGAGCUCCCAAAUAAUGAAACCUUUGAUACGAUGCAUUCAGUGACUGCAUCUUUUAAACAACGCAUUUAGUAAACAUGUUUUCUAAGAAAAAAGACUGAGUUAAUCUUAUAUACACUGAUAGUGUAUACACUAUCAUAAUGGAUACAUGACAUAUAUGCAAAAUUUAGAAGAGAUUUGAAUAACAAUGCUCCUUUGGAAUUGAUUUUGCAAAAAGUCUUACCUUUUAAUUUACUUGAAUUUUCGUACCCCUUAUACAAUUUAUGCAAUGUGUCUAACUAUUUAUGGCAAUCCAUUACUAACUUUUGAUAUAAUGCAUUCAGUGAGUAAAAAUAUGUAGACAAAUAAAAGAAUACAUUUUGUUAAUGCAGUUUUUAUGGAAACAUGUUCACUAAAUGCGUUUUUUACCCUUUCGGAAGAUAUUUGAAUAACACUACUUCUUUAGAAUUGAUUUCGAAAAACUUACCUUUUGAAAUUUUACUCAAAAUUUUUUGUACCCAUUAGACAAUUCACACAUUGCAUCUAACUAUUUCUACAUAUAACAAUCCAUUACUACAGCUAGGGGUGUUAAAAAAGAACCGAAAAAGCGAGUAACCGAGAAAAUCUAAUUGAUCCAAACUAUAAAAUAGGGUAACUAACUCACAAUUUUUAAAACAAUUAGAUUACCCAAACCUACAUAAAAAAAAAAUUAGGUUAGAAUGUGGUUUUCAAUUUUCAAACAUCGUGAUUACCUAAAACAACCUGCAUAUGUGUAGGCACGUAGGGUUGGUUAGGAUAAUCAGUACCCAAAUCUCAACUCAUAAUUUUUUAGUCAUUUACUAAUAAUAUUUGAGUAAGGAAGACCAUUAUAUAUUUUAUUUUUAAAACUUAUAAACUUAUCUACCUAAACCUAUCUCCCAUUUACCUUGUUCACUUCCUAUAUACAUCGCUACUAACUGCAUUUCUGGUGCUUCUUUUUUUUUUUGCUUUGUCCUUUUUCAAAACUUCUUUUCAUUUCUCAUAGAUUCUAUCAACUUCAUCACUCUAGUAAUUAUUUUGUUUUCAAUUUUUAAAACUUACAUGUUUGGUUGUGGAGUAACUCAUUAAAAAAAUAAAUUGAUAGCUUUCUAGAAAUGGAUGAAAACAAAUAUUCAAAAUAUUUAGUGCUUUAAUAUCUAAUGUGUAUUGAUUUUCUAUAUUGUUGAUAAUUUUUUAGAGUUAUGAUUAAAUACUCUUAUUGAUUUGGAAAAAUGUUGCACUAUUUGAUUUGUUAAUCUAAUUCUUUUUUUAUUCCUAUAAAUAGAAAACAAUAGGUUACACUAAAUACUUAAUCCUAUCCCACCGAUUAAUCGAUCACUAAUUAACCGGUUGAAUUGGGUUAAGGUAUAAUGCAAUUUUGCUGAACUGGUACAUGCACUUAGAGUCAACUAAAUUGCAAAUGGAUUGAUUGUCUGAUCCAUGAACACCCCUAACUACGACGUAUCCUCUCAUCGCUUCCAUGUUGGCUUUUUCUUUUAACUAUUAAUACAAGUACCAGAUUGGGUAGUACAUAUUUUAGUACUUCUUAUUACCGUUUGGAUUAGCUGUUUUUAGGAUAUUUUUGAAAUAUUUUACUAUAACAAUAUAGGUGAAAAACUUUUACUGUAGAAAUUAUUUUUGAGGUUAUUUUUUUGUGUUUUUGAGAUUGGUUUUGGAAUUUUUAAAAUUAUUUUUGUUUGUGUAUUACUGUAACAUUGUAUAUGAAAUUGAAAUUUUUCAAAAAAGACCAAUCCAAAUGGAACUUAAUUUGAAAGUACAAGUACUAUAAUUUAAUGAGAGUACUACUUUUUUAUUUUUGUUGCACUUCUUUUACUAUUUAUCAAUAUUAAAUCUACAACUUAAAUAUUCUAUUGGAUACUAGUAAUAUAUUGUACCUUGAAAAUUCUUUAUAAUAGUUUGUAUUGAUUUACUCAUGAAAUUCAACUUUUACUAUAGAUGAUGAAAAAGAUGCAAUAUAUUUGGUAAAUGAAAAUGUUUGUCUUGCAAUAUAAAUGAAAAUGUUGAUGUCAUGACUACAGAUUUAAUCUUUAUCGAUCUAAUUGUAGAAGAUACAAUAUACUUGUUAGAAAAAAGUUCAAAAAUCUUUCAAACGAUGAUGAAAAAGAACUGCAUAACACCCAAACAAAUCAACAUUUUAAAGAGGGGGAAGAGAAUUAACAAUCUUUCUUAAUCUUGCGGACAACAUUUUGAAGAGGGGAAAGAGAACAGAAGGGAAAAUAUAAUCAAACCCUCAUUCUAACACCAUGAAAAUGGACCAAUUCUAUAACUUAUACGCUAUGUUUUUGUCAAUGUAACGCUUUCUACUUCUAGUCCGAUCUUCGGUUUUUACUUUCUCUGCUAUGUGAUGAACUUGGAAUUGACUCACUUGGUCCAUUUACACUACUAUCUGACUCAUUGAACUGAGAAGACGAACUUGAAAUUGUGUAAAUUGGUGCAUCUACGCUAUCAUCUGACUCAUUGAACUCAGAAGAUGAACUUGAAAUUGAGAUAAUUGGUGCAUCUUCACUAUUAUUUGACACAUUGAACUGGGAAGUCAUCUGUGCCAAGAAUUCUAUAGCUAGCUUCGCUUCCUUUCGAGCCUGCAAAGCCUCCUCAGCCUUCAUCUCAGCCCAACGCCUGUGUAAUUCAGCAGCCUCCUUCAUCGUCCGCUCAGAAAUCACCGAUGCAGCUAUCAGCUGAUUUGCGAAAUGCCGAUCAAUCAUUAACAUUUUAGUUUUCUCAUCUGCACCAAGAUUGAAAAAAUUGAAAUUUGGAUCAGCACAAGAACGGCAUAUGUAUGGGACCCCCCGGAUGGUUAUAGAGAUGGAGGUUGAGGUUGCGGCUGCUCCAGAAUUAAUGCAGGAGAGAUGAGUGAUUGCCGGGCAGCAAUAGCAAUUGACUAGAUCUGAAGAGGGGUUGGGAUUUUCUGGUUCAUAGACUUGGAAACAAAUUGGACAAUAGGCUCCACGAUACACGUUGAGUAAACAAGAUGUGCAAAGUUGCAAAUAGUUGUUAUUGUGAUAGACAUGGUGUAGAAAUGGAGGUUUCCCCAGAUCACAAAGCACACACUGACCGUUCACCAUGUUUUCUUGAUCAAUUUGCUGAAAAGAAAUUGAGUUUUGGUUUAUGAAUGAACAGAAGCAAUAUCAAUUUUAGGUAUUGCUCUUUUAUUCAGUCAUUGGCACGGUGUAAGAAGGAUGGAAUUCAUGGCUAAAUAUGGUGCAUAAGUAGGAACAAAGCUGUGGAUGGUUAAACUUAUGAUAGACCUGGUUUAGAAAUAGAGGUUUUUCCAACUCACAAGGCAUCUUCCUUCAUCAUUUGUGAUCAAUUUAUAGAAAAAUGACAUAAGUGUGGUGUAUUUGAUUUUAUUUUUCGUUUUUUUUUAAUGGGGGAUGAAAUGAAAGAUAGUGACAAAGGAAUUUAUAGCUAAAGAUUGAGCAUUAAUAGGAGCAGCAGAAAUAUUUAGGAUAAAUAAUUAUGAAUCCGCAUCAGAAUUGACACUACUGCCACUAUACUAAUAUACAAGAAAAAAAAUAAAUAUAUGGUAAUUAACAAUUACAUUGCCAUAUAUCGAAUACGUUACAAAAUUAAUUACAUGAAAAAAUAAGCCAUUUGUGACUAAUAUACAUGGUAAGUUGGUAAUGUCUAAAUUAAUUAUCCUACAUUACCAACCUUCAUCAAGAAAAUUAAGUUUUAUUAUUUUUGAUGAUGAUAUUUCUUACAGUACCAAAAAAAAAAAAAGAGGAAAAAAAAGCAAUGUAUCCUUGGAGUGGCCUAAGUUCUAAGAUCACAUAAUUGAGACAAAGUUGGCGAUCGAGUGUAGAGAACAGUUGGUUGCUCAAUUCUGGUGGGCAGUGUACAUAUAUCUUCUUAAACAGAAUCAAUCAAUGCGAAUUAAGAGAAUAGUUAAUGUUGUUAACAAAUUUCCUCCUAGGCAUUGAAUAGUUAAUGCUGUCAAUAAAUUUCCUUCUAGGCAUUGCUUAUCCAUUUGGUUAUUUCUAAAAAAGAGAAUGAAAGAAAGGAAAAAGAUUUUGAAAUAUAAUGUUUAUUUCUGUGUUUAAGAAAGGGUUGGCAGCUAAAAUGUAUUAAAGGCAUAUAAAAGCACACAUAUGCAUUAUUCACGGUUGAUAAUACUUGCUAUAAGCAAGUUGAUUAGUCUCUGAUUAAGAAGUAAGAAAAUGUACUUAACGUUCUAAUAUGUGCAAUCUACGACAUUCUUGUGGAAUUAAUGAGAAAAAAAAGUAGUACAUGGGUUAUUAACUAUGAUUAUAGGAACAGCAUCUAUAGGUAAUUAAAAAAAAUCUGUUAUAAUUAUAGAUGAAAACUAUAGAUUCGAACAUUUAAAGAUAGAUUUAAGUUUUGGAUAUGCUACUAAAGAACAAAAAAAAUUCAAAAUAAAAGAAAUUGAAAAGUUUCUUAUUAUGCGAAGAUUAGAAUAUUAUCCAUUGUAGAUACUUAGAGUUGAUGAUAAUUAAUAUGUGAUAAUGACAACAACAGUAAGUAAAUAUGUGAUAAUUAAUUAUAGCCGCUUAUGUUAUAUAUUGCAAAUUGUGCACUUGUUAGCCGUUCUGAGUAAAAGAUUGUGAGUCGGUGAUGUCUAUCCAAAGCAUCACCAACCUUUAUUAAGGGAAAAAAUAAAAAAGAAACAACAGGAAAAAAUAAAAAGUUUUUCCAACUUGGCAAUUGCAAAGUAGCCCUAUGAACUUUCUUUGGUUUACAAGAGCCCCUUAAACUAAAUUUUCAGCACCAUGCAUCCUCGAACAAUCAAUUUGACGGAUGUACUUGAACCAACUCAUGGAUGCUAGGAGUUAAUGAGUAAAAAGUCAUUAAGAUAUCUAAAUUUACUAAAGAGGUGAAGAGAAAGAAAAAAAAGAGGGCAUUUUGGCAACUUAAUUGAAUCUAGGGAUAUUAAUAACUUUUAAUCGUCAAAUUCCUUGCAUGGAAAACUCAAUUUAAGUACAACACAAAAAAUAUAUAGUACAAUGUAUACAGUGCUGUAACAUAUAAUUUAAAAGUAUUUUGAGGCGUAAAUGAGUCUAAAGGAGCAUAAAUUUGAACAAUUUACCUGACUCAAGUUCGAUCUUAAAUUCGAUUAAAUACUUAAUUUGAUCCUUAGAAUCGACUCGAUAGUAUUUAGGGAGCUCGACUACGCGGCAGUCAAAUUUUUAGUAAUUAUAGUUUACAAAUUUGAAAGCAUUUCAGUUCAUUAACAGCACAAUUUGCAACUUAAAGAAAGUUUAUAGGGUUUUUCACCUAAUUUUUAUAUGCUUACUGGAUAUAAAAGUUACGUGCUUCCAAUUUUUCAUGGUAGUGUAUGUAUAUUUAUGAAGGAAUUGUUUGAUCACCCAUUAGACCAAAAUUUAUUCUUUCAGAAAGCAUAACCGUUUUGAGAGAGAAUUCACUUGGCCAGAGACUUGAUUCCGUUAACUAACUUCAGUGGCAAAUUCUUUCCAGUCAGGAUUACUUGCAAAGAAAAGCAUAUGUGCAAAAUGAACGUUCAAGCUAUUCUAAAACAUUUGUUCUUUGUGACACGCCAUCCACUUUUUCAUACUUGACAAUAAAUGUGAUUCUCUCCCAAAGCAAAACUAGUAACUAUUUUUAUGAUGUAAACAUAUUUGAAACAAUGAGGUUCACCCCUCAAUCUGGUACUAAUUAUAUGCAUUUGGCGUCAUUUUUUUCUUUACUAAUUUCAGGGAUGCAAUUAGAUUUGCACUCUCUUUAUACCUGUUGAUUAUAUCUAUUUGAGUUUCUGCACCUUGUGUAAAAGUGGAACCUCUAUGCUUGAUCGUUUCUGAGAGCUGGAGUUUCAUUUUCCCACUUGCAAACUUCGAUUCAAAAUGAAUCUAUUUUGGUCAACCAUCCUACUGGCAACGUUGCUUAUAAUCUCUUCAGGUACAUCUGUUUUAACAAUCUGCAUUUUGAUUUGAAAUUUCAAUAUGGCACUUAGACGGAACUUUGCUAUAUAUUACUCAAAAGCGCUAGCAAGGAAUUCUUGAAAAAUUAGUUUUCAUUUGAUCGUUUCUUUGUCUGCAUUUUUCGGAAUAGCAGUUCAGUCUUGUGUCUUGGGAUUAGUCGCAUAUGCUUCUUUUGUGCUGUAAUGGUGCCUUCAAAGUUAUAUCAGAUAUUAGAAAUCGAGCAUCACAUAUGUGGAUAGUAAUCUGUUGGUUUGACAAGGGUCAGGGAAUGGCUGGUAGAGUUUUCUAUGUAGAUGCAUAAUUCGAAUUUUAGAGGUAAUAGUUGAGGAUGGACGGGUAUGGAGGGACAAAAAAAAUUAAGAAUUUUAUCCUUAAAAACCAACCAUAUAAGAGGAUUCGGGAUACGAACGAUUGUCAGUGACAACCAUCUAGAGCGAUGUAAUAUAUUCUAAACACUUCCUGCGAAUUACUUGUAAAACUUUAUAAUAUACACACAAUUAUUAUGCAAAGGGUCCACAUAAAUAGUAACAAAAUGUCACGCUCCUAUUGUAAACAUAUACGAACAAUUAAGAAGUAGUUACAAUUUGUUUAAAAAAUAUUACACUGUUUUGGAUAGUUGUCACUGAUAACCGUCCAUGCCCUGCAUUCGCACAAAGAAUUAUCAAAAUUAAUGAUAGACUAAAGAGUUAUCUCCCUUAAUCCAUAAAAUAACUAUGUCCUAGUUUCAAUUACCAAAUAAUUUGUCAAAUGAGCAAGAUCUUAGCUUUGGGAACCUCGAUUUCUUACUUCAUAAAGUAAAAAGUUGGAAUUAUAUUGGAAUUUUGAAAUUUUCAUACUUGUAAUUCUAAUUGAGUUGAAUUUACCAUUUGAAUAUCACACUUGGCUUAAACUGAUUUAACCAAUUCGUCUCUACUUUGUAGACAUUUUGUUGAUAUAGUUUUAUAUUGUUGUCGUCUGUGAAAAAAUAAAAAAAAAUUGAAAAAUACCAUACGAAAUAUUAUGCGGCAUUGAUCAUAUAAUUCCCUGCAUCAUCUAUUGCUUGUUUGUGGUUUGAGAAUGCAUUAGAACUCAACGUUGCAAUUACAUUUUACUGUACUUCUUUGCUCAAAUUUAGUGAAAAUUAUUUUUAAACGCUACUGUGUUGAAUCAAAUGGAGAAGUUUAGCCGGCGUAAAUCAAUAUUUUUCAUGAAUAAAGUCAACCAAUUUAAUUAAACAGGAUCCUAAUCCAUAUUAUCUACCUCUAAUACUUUCACUUUAUGAGCUUUAUCAUUUUUUUUUCUUUGGGAAGAAUUAAGCAUCUUAUACUAUGUGUGAAGUUACAACUAGAGAGAUAAACUGCAAAAACACAUCUACUGAACUUCAUAUAUUCAACUCCAUUUGCAGGCUUAGGAGUUGAAGUUGUUAGUUGCAUAACAAUUCCAGAGCAUAUCUGUCAUGAGAAGAUUUACACCAACAAAUGUCAGCCAAAAAAAUGCACACAAAAAUGUUCAACAAAACCAAGUGGUAAGGGCACAUGCAGAGGCAACAUUUGUGAAUGCAAAUAUUAUUGCAAGCAACCUCCAAAGUGAUCCAAAUUUUCACGUAUAUAUAACUUGAGGCAUAUCACCAGGAUAUAUAUUGUUGUUAUUCAUGAGCCAAGAUUGUUUUGUACAUAGUUAAGUUUAUGCAUCUUGCUUCUGUUUGUUGAUUUACACACUUGAUUACUUGACUUAGCUGAAAUGAUAUGUUGUAGACAAUGACAUUUUUUCAUUUUUAGCCCAAAUAGGAGGAAGUUAAGAAUAUUAAGAACCCUCUCCAUUGAGAUAUUAAGAAUAUCAAAAUGGACAUAUACAGCACUUUUUUUGUCCAAUGUAAGUCCACUUCUAACAUAGAAAAAGGUGAAAAAGUAUCCUCUUGAAUGCAUAUGUCAAGGCUGCAUUCCAAAUUUCUAAUAAGUGGUUCCAUUUCUAUACAUUCUGAGCAUAGCCAAAAAUGGAAGAAAGAAAAAUGUUCUUGGACGGUACAAUAUUUUAUAUGGUCGAAAUUAGAGGUUUGUAGCACCCAGAAAUUGAAGAUUACACAAAUGAUAAAGGAGUAAAUGCAAGAAGUUGCAUUAGCCCACUUGCUUUUCUUUUCUUUUCUUUUUCUGUCAGCAAAUUAGUUGAGAUUGAAAUUAUUAAACUUCGUGAUCCUCUCGUCCAAAUAGUUUGCAAAAAAAUCAUCUUAUAUUAAACUUGGGAUAGAGAUAUCCAAUCACAUGACUAAAUGAGAAUGCAAUAGAGCUAAAAUUUCAAGCUCAGAAGCAUAAGGAAUAGGCUUAGAGAAGUUGAUUCGAUCAUUCUCAAUAAUGUCUCAAUAACUACCUAAUAAUAUAAUCUUCUAACCCCUUAAACGAUUCAUCUAAUCAUGUUCAACAUUGUAUCAAAUCCAGUAAACUUUUACAACAAUAUGCUAGACUAAAUUUUCUUAAUUACUUGGAUUUAAUUACGUAUCUAAUCAUCUCUACCUAAGAAUAGUAUCUUCCAAUCCAUUAAACGAUUCAUCUAAUCAUGUUCAACAUUGUAUCAAAUCCAUAAACUUUUUACAACAAUAUGCUAGACUAACUUUUUUAAUUAAUUAGAUUUAAUUAAGUGUACGGACAGAAUAAUAGAAUGUGAACAGAGAAAAGCAAAAGCGAAAGUGAAAGCAAAAACACCAUCAAAUGGACCACCACAAAGGUUAAUUCUCAAUUAAGGUUGGACAGAUCAUUACUGCCAUGAGAUGGUGUAAGAUGGCAUGUUGUAAAUCUUGAUUUACAGAUAGAUCAUCUCACAACCAUAUAGGAUCAUCAUAUGUAAUUGUAAAUUGCAUAUAUUUUAGUGGACAGUUUAUCAUAGACUUAGUGGACAACACAGUCUAUCAUAUAUUUUAGUGUACACCAGAAUUUAUAAAUGCGUGUGCACAGUAAUCCUUUGUGUCUUGAUGGUACGUGAGAUGAUUCUUCAUCAAAAUUUGGGAGGCACAUGGCAAAUUCUAAUGUUUUUAUGACUGCAAUAUCACAUCUAAAUUCUGUAUUCUAAAAAUGGUAGGUCUCCUGAAGAAUGAAGCGUAUGAAAGAGAUUGGCGACUUUGAUGACUUCCUUUCUUUCGGUCUUUUUUUAAUUAUAUCAGAUGUCCCUGAUGGGACUUUUCUUUCUGUCUGGUAAUGACUUUUCUAACAAGACCACUGUCUUUUCACCACUUCAAGUAAACUCCAUCAUUAAGGGAGAAGUUCGCUAAUUCUGGUGUUCUAAGGAAGUUCUCCUCCCUCUACAAUCGGGUACAUAACUAUUUUUGGUUACAACUUUUGGUGAUUCAAUCAGCAGCAGAAGAUGGAGAUUGGGCAAAGAAACGACCAUUUCAGUCCUCACUGGAAAAGGGUAAGUGAAACUGCAAAGUUCAGUGUCUAAUUUCCCCGUGUUUAGUUCCUUUUCAAACGUAAAAAUGCAUUUUCUAUGUCCAGACAAAUCCAGCAAUUGAUCAACGACUUAAGAAACAGUGUAAAGAAGACCCUUUCUGACUUGUAUACUUCUGUACUGAUAGGAUCCGUCUUUCAUAGAAGGGCCAGAUUCUGCAGGAUCAUUUAGUAUUCCGGUCCAAGCUUUGAACAUCGCAUGGGGAAGAGACCAUCGUUACUGGCGAUGGAUUACGCUUGGCGAAGACGAAAAUAGGUAAAAUGUUAAGUCCUGACAAUUUCUUAAUUGAUGCUUAGCCAUUUCUGUGUACAGGAGACUAUUCUGCUAGACUAGUCCUAGUUUUUAUUAUUAUUAUUAAAAGAGAAUCAAUAAUAGUUCUUCAUUUAUCUUAUGAUGAUUCAAACCCGUAACCUCUUGGUUACAGACGAAACAUUUUAACAACUAAGUCAUGCUUGUUGUCAAACUAGUCCUACUUAAGCUAGUUUGAUGGCCCAAAUCUGUAGAGUAUACCUCAUGCAUGUAAUCUUUUUUGACUUGUAUAUUACUGCCUUUACCUGGUAUACCUGACCAUAUGACUAAAAUGGAAUUAAUCUCAUCUUGCUUACAGGUCAGUUGGCUUUGAGCAAGCUGUAUUACUCGAUCAAGUGAACUGGUUUGAAGUGACUGGAAUGUUGGACAUUCCAUGCUUGAACUUGGCCGUGCACACCACCUAUAGACUAUACUAUGUAGUAAAGUUCUUGCCUGGUGCAUUUGGGUGGCAUACGGCCGAUGUCAAAUUUAUGGUGAAGUUCAAAAUACUCAGGAGAUCAUGUCUACUGAGCUCAUCAUACUGGAGACCUACAAGAAGCAACCUGAUCAGUGGCAUGAGAUACCUGGUGGUAAACCCUUUGUUGUUAACGAUGAAGUUCUAAUCACUACCGUUGAGUUUGGAAUGUUUGAAGUGGAAACUGAUUGGUGGAAGGGUGGCAUGGUACUUGGAGGGGUCAAAGUUAAACCAGACAACCCUCCUGCCACAGAGCAGCAAUAAAUAAGAGUCUUUACUAUUGUUCUUAUCAUCAUUUUUUCCUUUUUUGGAGAGAAGGAAAUGGAUAAGAUUUGAGGAAUAUUGAGCUAUGUUGCAGUCGUUCCUUCUCUUCCAAGGCCUUGGAAUGUGUUUAUUUGUUUAUCCUCGGUGAAGCCGGACACCAUCUCAAUAUUUGUGUAUGCGCAUGCUUGAAAAAAUCAAGUGCUGUGGUUAUGGUUUCCAGACAUCCUACCUUGCUGCUUCCAGGCAUCUAACCAAUUCUUUAUCCAUUUUGCUUUUUUGGCAACAUAUUGAGUUGUUCCUUUUCUUUUUUUUUUUGUCCCCUAUGGGAAGCAACAUUUCUAGGAUUAAAGAUCAAUUUCAUUUCCAUUGUAAUGAGUACAUGCCUUCUCCUUUAUACUUCUUUUUUUCUGGGAUGCUGAUCAUUUUCUUUGUUUUAUUUAAGUCGUUUGGCCUUUUGCUUUUUUUUGGCAAAUUUCCCAUUUAAAGAUAGCAAAGGAGCAUAGGCAGCAGGCGCUCAUCCUCUGCCUGCUAAUGCAAGAAGAAUACUACUACCUUUUCUAAACUUUUCAAUGGCUGAGAAUAACUUUACAAAAAGUAGGCAAUCUGAAUGUCUUGAUUAUAGCCGUUAGUUAUCAGGAGAAGAAUAAUCUUCUACUAAAAGAUUCGUAAAAAACCGACAUUCACGUGAAGCCCAGCAUGCAACUUGUAGCCAUCAAGAAUGUGUGCUUCCUAGCUUGAGAUUCGAGGUCCACUAAAAGAGAAUAUAUCAACCUUUAACAAAGCAAUCAUGCUUGCAGAAUAUAAGCGCUGCUACCUGCAGCAUAAACAAGGCUCCCCAAAGACUUCCUUUAGAACGAAAUGGGGGCAGAGUGGUCACAAGAUGAGGUAUCACAGCCUACUGAAGAACACAGAAAGGAAACCCCUCCAUGCACUCCACAGAUCAACAAUAAUGAGUCUGGGGCAAUUCAGGAGACUGCCACAGAACUUAAGCUUCCUCACAAUCACGAAGAGAUUCUCAAAGAUGCUGAUGCACCGGUUGACAAGUCGUCUACUGAGAAGCUCUAUGAUCAGCUAUAUGCAGGAGUAUUCUUAAACCAAAAAAAGAAGGCAAGUGAUUCUGUUUUUCAACACAUUCACAAAUUUUAGUAGGUAUCUGCAAACAUCCACACGGUUUACAGAUUUAGUAGUAUUCAAAGUAAUGCAUCCUACUGAGUCUGAAAUCCUGUUGGGUAGCCAAGUGAAUUAAAAAUUCCAAACAGAGCUAUCAUCACCAUUUCUUUCAUAUUUUUUUCAUAAAAUAUGAACUUAAUUAUGCAAGAAUAGUUUUUACCAGAGACUUUUAUGUAAUGCAGAAGUAUUGGAUUGAUAGGACCUCUAAGAAGAACUGCUUCAUGCUAUAUGCAAGAAAUCUUUCAAUAACCUGGGCUGAAGACAGAUCCUGCUGGCACUGGCCCUUCAUAAAAGAAUCCAGGUAGCUACCGAGAAGCAUAGUUAGCAGACAAAACAAGAAGUCUGCUAACUGUGUCUAGCUCCAUCCAGUACCCUAAUAGUCCUUAUUUAUUAUUAGCAGGACAAGAACUGGGUAAACAAAGAACAACGACACGUUGCAUCAGAAAUCGAAUAAUAAACUAAGAGAUGAAAGUCAUAAUUUUUGUAGAAUAGUUAUGAAGUUUAACACUUCUUGGAAAGAAUCUUUUCGAGUAAACGGUUAGUCACCAAAAGCCAUGCCAUUUGUUAUGCACAAUCAAAAUUCAAAAACCAGAUAUGCCAAAAACACAACCAAUAACAGAUUUAUCAUGUUUUACAGACUGAUGCUUCUGGACUAUAAACUGAUUACUAGUGCUGCUUCCUAUUUUGCAGUGAUGUGACUCUAGUGCUGCAGAGCUGCUGAACGUUUGCUGGCUGGAAAUUCAUGGAUGGUUCAACACGGUCAAUCUCACACCAAGAACUCUCUAUCAGGUUGUAUUUGUUCUUAUGUUAAAAGAUCCUGCUUAUGGAUGGGGAAUUCCAGUGAACUUCAGACUCAUUCUAGCAGAUGGAAGCAGACAGGAACACAAAGAAAAUAUGAUGAAAAACCUAGGGGAAAGUGGAUAGAAAUCCUAGCAGGAGAAUUUGAGACGUUGCCAGAGAAUGAUGGGAAUAUGGAGUGUUCAAUGUAUGAAUAUGAGGGUGGGGGUGGAAGAGAGGACUGGUCAUAAAAGGAAUUCUCAUUCGACCAAAAGACUGAAGUUCUUCAGCAAUCCGCUACGACUGCAGAGGCAAUUUAUGCUGGCCAAAGUUUACUUUCAAAUCACACGGGAUGAAGAAUCCAAUUACAAAAACCAGUGUACUGAGGAAUCAAAACAACAAGAUGAUGCUUUUAUAAAUAAAAUGCCUUAAAUUUCUCCUACAAAAAUUUAUCUUUUACACCGUCUGUGUAUAAACACUCUGAAGCACGUUGGUUGUUUAACUUUCUGCGAACACAAUUAAUAAAGGAGAUGCCCAGGGUUAACCUCCAAACCAAUAUAAGAUUCAUUUGACAACCUUAUGAACACUACAUAGACCAAAUCUCCUCACUAAAAGUAAUAUUGAAAAAGAUUAUACGGCCUAUGCUUUUGAUGAUACCUCUAGAUCCAUUCAACAGUUCACAAGUACAAACUGUAAACAACAAAAGUUACGUGGUCAAAGCAUUUAUUGUACUAAAUUCCAGAUAAAUCAAUUUAUGUUGAAAACUAAUCAUUCAAUAAUUAUAGAAGAUAAGAUAAUUAGUGCUGAAACCUUAUUCUAUACUAAUUUAACCGAAAAUUGUAUCAUGGAUCUAUGAUAAACUUCAUAAUGAAUUUAAAUUUGACAGAUGUAUCAUAAUCUGAAAAUGAAAUAGAGAAGAAACCUGAAAAGCAAAGAACUGCACAUUUGUCAACUGUAGACUGUUUGAACCCAGAAGAGAUUAUUAUUAUGUAGGUUCUUACUAGAACACAAUACAUUGGGACGCUGUCCAUCCAGAAUAGAAAAUUCUAUGGAGCAUAACCUCUCCAGAGAUAUUCUAAUAACUAAAAGUUGGACGGACAUUCUUCAUUAGAAAAUUGUAGCUACAUAUGUCUGCACACAAAUGACUAGGUUCAAGAUGAAGAUACAUAAAUCUUCACUCUCACCAAGGCUUAUUCAGACCAAGAGCUUCAGGAGAAAUUUCAGUUUGUGACAUCUAUUCUAGACAUUAGUUCACCAAAGAUUGCAUUUGUGUUCAGACAUGUGAAAUCCCUUGUACUCGUAGUACCAAAUGCUAGAGGACAUUCCAAUGCCAUGCAUUUGGGCCAAUUUCCUUGGACAUGAGAGACAAAUAUACAGAGAAACAUACAAUAUCAGCAGAACCAAAAUUCAAAAAGUUUCAAGGAAUUCAUCACUGAACAAAGAAUGAUCAGAUGAAGGUGCAAUUUUAAGUUUUAUCCUGUGCCAGAUGUUUAAUGCAAUGACUUAGUUACUGCUCCAGCUACCAAAGUAUAGCAUACAAGAAACAGAGGGGGACUUUUCAAGGGAGACAGAAAAUGAGAUAUCUAUUAAAUGAAACUCAGACCCAUAUUUCAUAAGCCCAUUUCCUUGUCUACAUCUCAAUAUCUAUCUCUAAGAAAUUAUUAUAUAUUUAGCUUACUAAAAGUAAAAUUUUGAGUUUAGGAUAUGAAACAACUACUCACUUGCAAUUUCAGCCAAAAAGAAAAUGACGAACUUCAAUUACUUGUUGAUUUUACAUCAGUCGCCAAGCAUUCAGUAGUAUAAGCUUGUAUGGAAAGAUAUAGAAUCUCAAUAAAGAUUAGAAUUCAAUGAAGUCAUAGCCACCUAAACCUAACAGCAGGUCUUGUAUCACAGGCACAAAAAGAACUAUGUAGUAUGUCAAAUAUCUGUACGGUAAUUUUCUGGCUUGUACCACAAGAGAAAUCAAUUCCUUUGUUCUUUAAUCUCUCAGUUGCAGGACCAAUUCUCUCCAGCAGCUGCCACAUUUAAUACAAGAAUAUCAGGUGAAGACUAAGGAAAACAAACAAAAUACAAAAAAAAAAAUAAAUGUUAAUACUUUCUCAUAAAAAAUUUCCUAUUCUAGUCAGCAAUCACAUUCUAAAAUACAGAUAAAGCACACGUCUCUGCAGCAGUCAGUCGUUUGAACUCAAACAGAAACAGACGAGUGGAACGAGGUAAACAGUAACGAAAACAAUACACAUUGUCACGAAUACAUCAACUGAUGGCCCGCAUAUCCAUGAUCACAAAUCCAGUAACAAGCCAGCAACUUCUGGCUGGUGGUAACAACCCAAAAAAGUGACUAAAAGGAUUCAAAUACAUGAACUGAGGCAGAGGACAAGUGAUGGUACUAACUAGGUAAAUAAGAGAAAACAACAUUACAUAUGUUAUACACAAUACCAGAUAUCACAAUCAUCCAGUUCUCCACCAGAUUCCACACCAAACGUGUCCCCACGCCACUCUUUAGCUGUGCUAGUUUCCUGCUCUCCACAGACAUCCACAGUUUUCAUAUGUUCCUACCUACUUUUACCCACCAUUAUUUGGUUUGGAAGCUCCUACAGCUUAAAAUAAGUCCUAACUUCUUAAAAUAAGUCCUAACAGCCAAGGAUCCAGAUGCACAUUUAAGAUGAAUUUCAUGUGCUAAGAUGGAUAGCAACAUUUAGAAGGCCUUCUGGGGCUUGUGAGGAAAGUAUAAGUUUGAGUAAUCGAUAAAAAAUUCAGCUUCAGGGUGUGUCAGUUUGAUGUGUCUUUUGAUCCAUUUCACCUAUUGAAUGGUUACCUACUCAAAGAAACUGUAAUGGAGUAAAGUCCAGUCAAAAUCAUAUAAAACAACCCAGAUUCUUUUCGAAGUAACAAUUAACUAGAAUAAAGAUCUUUGGAGGCAGCUAUACUAGCACGAGAUUGCCUACAACUUAAUUUCUUCUUCUGAUCAAAAGACUGUAAGCACUCCUUUGGAGUGCAGUGACUGGUAAAGUGCUUCUAAAAUCAAAAGCUCCAACUUCAGCUUCAUCCAAAAGUACUAUUAAGUGAAAGUACCUAACCCAAGAAUUAUUAAUGAAAUUAAAAAGCACUUCACAACUGUAAAGAUUCCAACUAAAAGCACCAUAGUCCAGAACGAACUCUAAAGUAAUUAUACAAGAUCUGGGUGGUCAGCCUCCAAAUCAGAUCCAUAGUAAACAAGCUUGCAACCAUCAUGUUUUCUUUCUAGCAAUUGUUAGAGAAUAUUUAGCUUUAUUCCCCUGUUGGAUUUCAUUCACGAUUUGAUGCAUAUAUGGGAUAAUCAUAUAAAAUAUUCUGUUACAGGGAAAAAACGCACGCGCGCGCGCACAAUUACACCUUACGCAAAGAUUGCUGUUUCUUAGUUAAAGCAUCACGAGCUUAAAUCUGGGCUCAUCACUGACAAGAAAUUAAAUUGUGAAUGCAGUAGAUAAGGGGGAUAAUUAACCUUUGCAUGCAAUACACCAUUGGAUACCAAGACUGAUCUAUCAAAUACUGAAAACUUCCCACCAUCCAUGCAAGAAACUGCUCCUCCAGCCUCUUCAACAAUCUGUUAGAAUUUGCAAUAACACAUAUUCCAUUAUGAGUCAAGAGCAGCCAGCAAUAACCACAGAAGCGAAAGUGACAACUAUCACUUUUAAAACCCUGAAUCUUGAAUGAAAAUAUAUAAUCAGAGCAUCCAAAUUCUUUAUCAAAGUUUGUACCUCAAAGAAGUACAUUUAGUUUAAAUACUGCAAAAUUCUUAACUAAUCUAUGAAAGACUUCAUAUAACACAGUUCUAAGCAUCAUAAGUUGAGCCAUUAUUCUGUUGUGAUCUAAAAGCCACCUUAAUCUCUGUUAUUCUCACUUUUGAGAAUAGUUAUUAAACCUGGCCUGGCCGGUGGUUUGACCAGUUAACAAGGUGAACAGGCCAUUAGGCCAGGCUGGGUAGCUAAUCUGACUGGACAAGGCACUCAACCGCUAAAUUUCAAUGACUCAGCGGCUCAACCAGAAGAACCAGGAACCCAUGAGGUUUUUUAAGAAACCCUGGUCUGUGAAUUUUGGAGAAAAAAGUUAAUCACAUGCUGCUGCUUCAUUUCAAACAUGCAAUCUCCAACAUGAGGUGGCAAGCCUCCCCGCUGGGCCAGUAGCUCUCCUGAUGUUAGUUGAAGGUUUUCUAUAUAUUUAUUUAUUUCUUAACGUCCUCCCUUUAUUGAAGCCUUUUGUAAAAGCUUCAUUAUGCCCUCAUCCUCUGUGCUAAAAAUUAAGAAAUUAAUAGCCAAAAGAUAUAUUACUGCAAUUCAAUAUCAAUCAAAAUGAUAUAUUAUUACAACUCAUCCACAAGACAAAUUUGAUUCAAAAUAAAAUUUUACCUCUGGAAGUUAAAUUAAAUGAAAUAAAAAUUUACACUUGAAAGUUGGUUUGAAAUACUAGUGAAAUUUAUUGCUCUCAAUCCUUAAAAGUAGUUACUUACUUAACAUUUCAUUGAAAACUGAAGAAAAAUUUUGUUGUAAAUUGUAACAUAGUCUGUUAAUAUCUACGCUUGCAUUAAAAAGUAUAAGUACACUAUAUUUAAUUUUACACUUGAAAGUUGGUUUGAAAUACUAAUGAAAUUUAUUGCUCUUAAUCCUUAAAGUAGUUACUUACUUAACAUUUCAUUGAAAACGAAGAAAAAUUUUGUUGUAAAUUGUAACAUAUUCUGUUAAUAUCUAUGCAAUAUAUAUUGCAUUAAAAAGUAUAAGUACACUAUAUUUAAUUUUAAGAUCAGAUUCAAUCAACCACCCACUGGUUGAAUCUGUAACCCAUUGACCCACCCUUUCACCGGUUUCCUGUCCGGGACAGAUUUAAUAAGUAUGGUUUUGAGGCUAUAUUGUUACAUUAGCUCAUAAAGGAAGCAUUCACUUUAUUGGAGACACUGCUUCACCAAAACUUUUCCCUGCUCAGUUGACUUAUAGUCACUGCAAUCUUUACAAGAAAAAUGCAGGCAUAUCUUACACUUCAUGCUGAUAAUAAGCAGAUGGCAUACAGAUGGAAAGGAUAGCAAAAAUUCCUAAUUUAGCAGAAAAGUCCCAGUACGUUCUUUUUGGUAAGUAAACAUCCUAUUUAUUUGAAGUUCAAUAAAAGUUAGACAGCAAUGUUGUGUCAAAAUAGACCAUUGUCAAUCUGUAUCAUUAAAGCACUAGAUCGAAAGAACAUAAAAGAAAUAAAACUGUACUCUCAAUGAAAUAAGCCUGAUACUUGAAUUUCUACAGGAAUAUUUGGAAAGUAAACUACAGACUCAUCUUUUGCAAGUUUAAAAUGGCACAAUAAAAAAGGAAAAAAUUACCAAUACACCAGCUGCCAUGUCCCAGGGUUUUAGACGAUAUUCCCAAUAGGCUUCAGCAAUCCCAAAAGCAACAUGGCACAUGUCCACGGAAGCAGCUCCAAGCCUUCUAACACCCUGACCAAGAAGAGCACAAACAGACAGAUAGACACAUAAUAAGAUGGAGAAAGAAAGAUAGAAAUAAAUAAGUUAACCAUUAGUUCUUAGUUCGAAAAAGAAAUAAGUGUUUUUAUAUUUGGGAUUAAAUAAAGCUAACAACUAAAAAAGGUAACUCAGGAUUAUGGUUUCUUUUAGUUUAUAUAGUAAGUAGAAGAGAGUUGUACCCUGCUAACAUCAGUAAAUUCCUUGAAUAAAUCAAUGUUGGUAGCCCAUGCAUCAUCAUGUUCAUAUCCAAAUCCAGUCACCAGAAGCGAUUUUUCCACCUAAAUGUCAACAAGUACAAAAAAAUGUUAGCUGGAGCAAAAGAAAUUCAAAUUAAUAAAUCAUAAACACCUAAAUAGGAAGUGACAUAUUAAUGUAAGUUAUUGUUAGUAUGAUACAGUUGAUCAAACAGAUUGCUUAACAGAUAUAUUGUGGCUUUCAAUGUAAGCACAUUGAAAUUGUUACACAGAAGAAUAUAUUGUAAGCAACAUAAGAUUUGUCCAUUUCCUUGUAUAGCUUUCCAAGAACUCAGAAGAACUGGAAACUAGUUCUUGCAUAGGGCUUAGAUUGGCAUUGUCUGAUGUAACAGCUUAAGAACUGGAAUUGAAAUGCUACCCUUGUGUAAAAUCUGAAAUUCUCUGAUCAACAAAAGUUUCUUACUUUGCAAAAAAAAAAAAAAAAGCUUGAAGCAAGCAAAAUGCUGGAUUUUAAUACUUCUGAGAAAUGCUGUUGCCAUGAGAUGUGCAUGUCCUUUAUAAAUAUUAACUCAGAACAAGUUACUUCAUGUAGCCAUCUAAGACCAUGAAACUAUACAAUAACCAGAAUCUCAUUAACAUUUUAUCUGAAUGUGGUACAAUCACUAACCUUAUCAGUUUGACUGACAUGAAUCUUUUCACCAUUGGCAAAGGCACCUUCACCUAAUAAAAUCAAGAUUAGCAAUUAACUAAUUAAUCAGUAUUUGUCUUAAAUCCAAUACUAAAAGAGAGAACAAAAAGUAGGGGUCAAACUGAACUGGACUAAAGUAAGUAACUAAAAGAGAAAACAAAUAGAAAAACUUGAACUGGGCUAAAGUAAGUUUUCUUACCAGAAGCUGCAGAAAAGGUGCGAGUAUUCCAGCACAUGGGGCCGCCAACAAACUCUACCUACAGAUAUGCAACUGCAUAAUCAACAUGAGUUACAAAAAAGGAACUGUCUUUUUUCGAAGAUCAAUAACAUGGGCAAAUUCUGGGUUUAUUUACCUUUCAAUAUGCUUGGAAAUUCACAAUUAAUCAGAGUAUAACCAUAAAAGAUCCUUGAAAUGUCAAUUUUUAAGUAAGAAGUACAAAUUAUAAAGAGAAAAUCGAAUGUGAAUCCCACCUGCAUGUCACUGAAAGUUUAAUUUUAAUACUAUUCAAAAAGUAAAAGACAACUGAGUUCCUGAGAGGAGUAGAUUCUCUUUUUGACUCUCAACAGUAUCAGGAAAAAUUGCUAAUCAACAAUAUUACAUUUGGAACACUGUCUUUUAAACAUCAGAUGCUUAACAAUGCACCCUUCUGUUCCACACCCUAAAAAGUGUCUCUGUACUAAUCAAAUUGCUGCUAUUCAAAGUUUACAAGAGCAUAAACAUUUCGAUUUAGAUUUUUAUAACCAUCACAUACCGUCAUAAAGGAGUAAGUAAAUGAUUCCUGGUGCUGCCUGUGUUUAUGACCAUGGUUGUAUGAUAAAGGGCAUUUGUGGUUACACACACAUACUCAUAGAGACACGGUGCUCAACAGAUGAAGUACCCAUAGGCUGUAGCCACUGAAGCUUAAAAGUUUGCACAGGCACAUUCUCCCUAAGCAAAUUUGUAGUGAAACUGGAAUUUAGGUUCAGAACCUAGCUUGACGAUGUGUUUGAUUUUCGGGGAGAAAUGAUGCAGCAGCUAUGAUGUAGCUAGAAAAGGCCAAACCUAUUGGAGACUUUAAGUCAAAGUAGGUCAUCAGAAAAGCUUUCAUCCAAGGCUAGGUCCGAUGGUAAGUGUUGUAAUGUUUGGACUGCAAAGUUCUCUGCUAGCAAGGCAAAUUAUUGCCAAAAAAAUGCUGUUUGGAUUGCUACAACAUUGUCCAAAAAAAAAAAAUCUUAGUGCUCAGUUUUCCAUCCAAUGGCAGUUGUGAUCAUAACGGAACAUUUCUGUAAGAUAAUUUGGUGCAUCAAAUGCUAAGUGAUUUAAUUGCUUUUCCAUUAAAGAAUACAAGAUCAAUGGCCCAGUUCUAAUGGAAAUUGGACUCUUCUCAGAUAAGACUUUACUCCUAACCACAACCCUAUCCUUACUUCUGAGCUAUCCUACCACUGACUCUUAAAACAAACUCACGAGGAACUGGCUGUCUUGGGAAGAAAUGAAGUAAGCCAUGGCUCACCAAUUUCUACCAGCAGAUCACAAGCAAAGAAAUGCAUACAGUUUGUGCAACUAAUGCAAGAGAAUAUGAGAGUAUGUGACAAUACUAGUAAAUUCCGUGACUUGCCUACUUGCUAUUACUUAAAUAGAUGGAACAACAGUGCAUGAUUGAUAUGUCGGAAAUAGGAUUAAAAUCUUUGUUUUCCUUAAAAGUUGCUUCAGUAAAGGUGUAUUAAUUGGCGGAUACCGACUCAAGUUGCUUCUUUCAAUGAGGAUACGUCCAAAAUUCCCCCGAAGGUUGCUAUCCAAAUUGUUCGUAAGAAGGUGAGUUCACUGACAUAAAGUUCACUUAAAAAACCUGUUAAUAACCCACAGAAUCACCAUGAUGGCCACCAAAGAAAAAGCUUCAUUAGCUUUCAACUUCACAAUAUGUUCACAAAGUUUCCCAUAAAGGCUCCUCUGAAAAAUGUCUAGAGAGAAGACAAAUCCACUCAAGAAAUACAUGUGCAGUUCCUUUCAAAUUUAGCUUCAGAAAAAUGAUAUCUACCUGUGGAUUCAGUCAAGACAAAUCAGCAUGGCUAUAGCCAUAGAAGUCAUAGACAGCCACCUUCAAAACUUUAUUAACAUUCCAGUUGAUUCAUCAACUAAAAUUUUUUUUAUGUAACUCUUCCUGUGGAUUUAGCAUUGGAAAUUGUCAUUCUUGAUGAUUUUUUUUUUCUUUCCUUCUGAGAUUAAUGAGAUCUUUUUCAAAAUAUCUAGACGAAAAUCAAGACAUGAAGCACAAGCAUGUUUAAAAAUCUAUUUUUCAACCAGGCAGGUGGAGGCUAAAUUAGUUUGACUGGAGUUAAAACUUUAAAUAGUUUAACACUUAAACUUUGAUUUGGUUGCUCAAAUUUAGUUUGACCAUACAUGGCACUAUCUCCAGGUUCAUUCUCUCAUUCUCUUCAUCCUCCCCUUCUUAUGGCCCGUGAUGGAUUCUGCUGAUCAAUCAGUGAUGCUCAACCUUGAUCAUCAGAUGAUUAGCUCGUUAGUUAGACAGUUGACAGAAUCAGUUUUUGUAGCCACAUAGUAGAGUUUGUUACAGCUAGAUGGAAUUUAGUUAGUCGUUUUAGCUAUAGUAGCGGAUUGUAUAGUCAAGCUAGCUUCAUAAUUAAUCAACUGAAUUAUUAUGGAGGCAUUGUCAGAUGUAAUUUCUCCUCUUUUCUCUAACACAAUCUCUCCCAUUUUCCUCUCUCCACUGUCUUUCGUUCUCUUCUUUUCUGAUUCUCUUCUCUCCCUACUCUCUGAUACUCUUCCUCUCAUUUUUGAUAUCUGAUUAAGCCAUAACACCAGCCACCCCCCCCCCAAAAAAAAAACCCAUGGGGCAGCCUUUCUGAUUCAAUUUCAGUCAAAAUGGAGGCAGCCUACUUAUAGCUGCCAAGUCCAACGGGUCAGAAUAUGAAAGAAACUUGUUUUAUGUGGUAUACAAAAAAAAAUAAGGAUCAAAGCAGUGGUGAAUUUCAAAAUUACAGCUUAGUCUCUCAGGUUUAUGAAUUGCUACUAAGCAAACACAUAAUUCAGGUUCUAACACAACCUAGUGCACCUAUGACUUAAACUGUCAUUUAACUGUACCAAACACAUGUUUAAAAAAGUUAGGCUGACCUAAAUGAGCAAAUUUAUAAAGAAAGAAACCAUGUGCUAAUCUAGUAACUCCAACUUAACAAAUGAAAAUAAGCUUAUGUCAAUGCGAUAGAAUAAGCUCUUCCAUUGCUUACCACAGUGGCGGCAGCUGGCUUGCCUCUAAACAAUACUGCAACAGAUACAGAAAAGCUAGGAUAACCAUGUGCAAAGUUUGUGGUCCCAUCUACAUUGUGGAAAAGAGGUAGGCUCAAUAAUCCUUUCAUAUAGAGAGAGCAGUAUAGCAGCACCUAGAACUAAAAAAAUAAAAAUAAAAAUAUAGCACCAAGAACAGAUGCUACUAUGUCUUUGAGUAGUCUGUAGAACAGGAUAGCAAAAAGCCAAACUAACUGGAAAAUGUAGUUGACCACCUUCAUGCACUGUAUUUGAGCAAUGAAAAAUAAAAAGAUUUUCAAAUGAAGCAUUCAAAUUACUCCUACAGGGAGCCCUCAAAACUAUGACACUCAAUACACUGGUACUAGAAUUCAUGGAAUAUAUUAGAAAGAAAUAUUGUACGAAUUCCACCAAGGCAUGUCAGUUUUCAUGCUUUCAAGAAUUUUUGAAUUUCAUGCUCUCAAAGAUGAAAUCUCUUGAUUCAUAGCUGCUUGUAUUUUGUUGAUGGAAUGCUCCGGUUCAAGGCUCUCUUUGCAAAGACUUAGAUUCUGGGGUUGGUGAAUAUGGAAUUUAUGCCCAGCACUGUACUAAUGCUCAAUUUCUAGCCAAGUUAUGCAGCAGUCUGACAACAUCACAGGCAAACUCUGUUUGUGGGUUUGUUCUCCAAAGUUCAAAAUAAGCUAUAAGCAGCUUUGUGAUAUUAAUAAACAAUUAAUAUUGAAAAUUUGUUAUAAAAAUUCUAAGUAUGGAUUUGCUUUCAUUUUCUGAAAGCUAAAAGAUGUUUCCAAAUGCAACUCAAGUUGCUUACUAAAACAGCUUAUUUCAAUUUCAAUUAGGCAGCUUAUAACUUGUUUUAAGCUGUUGAGAACAAGCCCUUAUACAUGAUAAGCAAGUAAAGAAACAGGAAAGUAAAAUUAGAUAAACAAACUACAUCGCACAAUGGAAAUGAUAAGCCAAAACAUGGAAUGAUGUUAUCACAUAGACACAAGAAGAUGGUCCAAAAUGUAAAGUGACCACACUGUCAGAAAAGAUACAGGUAACUAUACAGAAAACCACUUCAAGCAGCUUGCAAAAGUCUAGUCAAGUUCCAUAAAGAUAAGGAAUUCAGGAAAUAUAUCAUGUAAAUCUGUAUGUAGACAAAUUAACAGAUUUAUGAGCCAAACCUAAAGGAUCGAUACACCAAAGGUAAUCAGAGGAAGAAUCUCCUAUAAGCCCUCCCUCCUCACCAAGAAUUAGGUGAUCUUGGAAGUUAUUCCUGACAACAUCUAGAAUAGCAGCCUCACUCAUUUUAUCAGUGCUGGAUAAGAAUUCAAUACAAUAAAUCAAGAUGCAAAAUUAGGAAUAAGACUGCUUCAAAAAAAUGACAAUAGGAAUAUAGAGAAUUGUAGAACUGACAUGCAAUAAUACAAACUGUAAAAUUAAGAUCAAGAUAUUGAGCAAUAAAAGAGAAACUUUUUCAUCUAAAUCAUAAAGCAUGCCCUAAGCAGAAAAUGCAUAGAAGUGAGGUAAUAUAACAUGUCAAAAUUAGAGAAACAUAACUAUAACAGCAGAAGAACAAGAGCUAGAAAGAGUAAUAUAACAUGUCGAAAGUAGAGAAAAAUAACUAUAACAGCAGAAGAACCAGAGCUAGAAAACAAAUGACAAAAAAAUAAAAAUCAAGAAAGGUAAGAACUUUGAAAGUUGAGAUCAGUACAGAAAUAAGACAAAGCAUAUCUAGUACAGAUGCAUUUUAGGAUAAGAAAUUGCCAAAGCAAAUAUGAAACUGUUCAACGAAUUUGGUCUCUGAAGCAUUAACAAGUUGAUCUGUGUCUGGUUAAACAAAUUCAAUUUUCUUAAUCAAAGAGGCGAAAGACAUCAAAAAAGAAAAUGCUAAAUUAGAAAAGAUCACAUAUUUCACCUGUAGAAUGUUUAACAUUUUAUGUAUAUACAUAAAAAAAUGUUGGUUUGGUGGAUUAGGAAGACCCCAGUGACAGAGUUCAGUAGUCUUGGACUGGAAAUGCUGUAUUACACUUUUUUGAGUUCAUUUUUGGUCUAUGUUGAAAACAAUAGCCAUAACUAGCGUGAACAGAAUGGAUGGAAAUCAUAGUACGAACAAGGUAAGAAGAAUGUUUAUGCAUUCUUUUCGUGGUUGGGCACAAAGUGCAGAUAGGAAGUCAAGGUGCCAAUAACAAUAGCUAUAACUAAACGAAAGCAGCCAAAAAUCACGAAUAAGUUAGUUCAAUCCAACGGCAUCUCUCUACAGGGAGUAUUGAUAGGUGCAUCAUGAUAGAGGUUACCACAUGGGUACAACGCACACUACAAAGAUAGAAAUUUUAUGAUUGCAUGAUAAACAGCAUUUCUCCCAAAAAAAAAAAGGACAUUAAGAUAUCAUACAGCUGCACCUAUGCCCUCCAGUUAUGAUAUAGUUUAAACACAAAAGGGAUAUGUGUAAUACAUGCAUCAAGAAUCACCCCACUAGGGUAAGCUUGACAUGGAAUUUGGAUAAAAAUAACUGCAUUGUGAUCUAAUGUGAAAUAUGCUUACUACCUAACAUAUACAUCAGUUUUAGCAACUCUCAAAACAAGCAACCAAUCAUAACACAAUCAAUUUCAAACAGUAACUAAACAAUCAAAAGAAUCGCUUAAAUAUGCUUAAUUUUUUAUUAACAGAGGUCUAAAGCACAAAAGCAUAGGUACUCUAUAAUUCUUACUCAGUCACCAGAUCGCUGAGCCCUAUUUUAUAGGCAAUAGUUCGAGGCUUGUUCACAGUAUCCAUUACAACCUGAAAUGAAUUAAGAAAGCUUAAUUAGAUAUCCAGAAAUGAUCUUGCUUUUCUUCAGAAAUCAGAAAAUAGUAGUGAUUUAAAGCAAUUAAAAACAAUGGAAAGAGGAACCUAUGUGCUCAGAAUGAAGGAUAAUGACAGGGAUUAUAGACUGAUGUUGACAAAGCGGAAGGAAAUAAAAUUAUGAAAAUGAAGAUCAGAAGCAUUUUUUCACUGAUUCAUCUGUAAGCAAUGGUAAAGUCAUCUAGAGGCAAAAGGAUUUCAACGUAAAACAUGCCAUGCAACUGCAUUUUGGAAAAAAAAAAAAUUGCAGAUUAAUUCUAUUCAUGGUCAUCCAUUGAAAGAACAUUGAAACCACAAAGUAUAAAAUAACUUGUCUUGAUGCCAAAAAAAAAAUUUCAAGACUGGUGGAAUUUUCCCCAUCUCUGUCCUACAUCCAAGAUUUACAAAUAUUGGCCUGCAUCUCACAAAUAGAACCAACAAAGCAUUCUUGAAUGCAAAUGAUUCAGUCGCUCAAAGAGAUUAAAAUGCAAAAAUUGGCAUGAAACAAAAAAGGAAAAUAAUAUAUUCUGUUGGAUCAUUACUAACUUGACAAAUAUGGAUAUAAGAUCAUUAAAGUAACUUAAUUAUAACAAUGUUUCAGGCUUACGUAUCUAUUCCAACUAUCAUACUGCACGAACAAGCCUAUAUUAGCAACAAUCUGAACAAGAUUAUUACCAGAACCAAUGAAUGUUAUUUCAUGGAAUACAAGAUUGUUUCUUUUUUGCCCACAGGUAAGCAUGUCUUAACGUUACACUUUUACAAAGCACUAUACCAUCAACUCUUAAGAGUCCUGAUCAUCUUCUUAUUUUUCCAGUCUUGUCUGCUACACUUACCAAAUACUCUUCAUUCACUCCAAUAGAAAGACAUUAAAAUCCAGGUCUAAGCAAUUUUAUUUAACCAUACCUUGAUCAAGAAAAUACCUUGGCAAAUUUUAUUAGGAAACCUUCUAAGAGAAUUCUUCUAUAAAAGCAUGAAAGGCCUCAUAGGGUUAACUUUUGCAGUCAAAUUUUCUUCUAUUUGGCAUUGUUAUAAAAGCCUUGGUGGCAUUUAAAGUUGCAAGGACUUACGAUCAACAAUUAGAACAGUACCGUUGCCAGAAAACACGAGAUGGUUUUCUAAGCCAUUCCAUCCAUCACUUUUUGUAACACCUAAUAAUUGACUUUGGGAAUGGAUAUCACCCCCUCAUUCCCUAGUGGCAACGAAAAGGAACUCGAUAUCACUUUCAAUUAAACAAUUCCAGUUUAGACGGUAAUAAGGCUACUAAUUUCCUUAAAGAACAGAAAAAGCUACUGAAUCCACAGCUAGCCUUGGAAAUGCUGUACAGGUAAAAUUCUACAUCAUUAACAACUUUACGGAUAGUGGCCAAAAUAGCCAGAUACAGAUAGAGCCAUCAAUUGAAAUCUCCCAUCCAACAAACUUAAUAAACUGCUACCAAACAACUAAUUUCUCCAAGAAAGAAACGACAAUAAAGCACUGAUACUAUAUUCACCUUGAGACUGGUUUUUCUACACAAUUGAGAAGUCAUAAAAAAUCAAGAGUUAUAUGGAAUCAAACCUUAGCACCAGUCUCAGCUGCAGUUUGAACAACUUGAAGAAGCUUUUUGGAAGGAAUUGGUCCAGUUGACUCAGCACCAACUUUAAAGAACUGCUUUUGAUUUGAAACUUCAGAAAAACAGAGGCCUUGCAGCAUAAUCUUCUUGUGGGCAUUGCUUUAAAAGCUGGUAUGCUACAAAACCCAUCUCUGCAACCCCUGAAAGAGUCCAAAUUUGCAUUGGAACUCCUAAAGUGUGAAACUUUAGGGUAAUUACAGGGUAGAAUUGAUGUAUGUUUUUGACAAAAUUUGGAGCGUGUCAAAGUGGGUGAGAACAGAAAUGAUUUCCCCAUCCGGAGCAGUUGAAGAUUCCCCUUGGUUAACUUUUCCGGACUUUAUGUUCCUUGUGCCCUGUCUGCAGAGUAACAAGAAAGUUGUAAGCUGUACUAUUGCUAUUACAGAUGGCUUCUAGUAUUCAAUCUUGUUAGCGUGCAUCAUGUGCACGUGUUUUCCUCUGUCACGAAUACAAAAUGGAUGAUGGUAUGUUUGAACCUAGCUUUGUCUUGUUGGACAUGGAAUAUUGAUGAAAAUAGUUAUGGGUGAACAGGAAUAUGCUCAAUUAAUGACGGACAAGGGGCAGGAAUGGUUGCAACCGUUGUUGACGGUUUUUGAUCAUUUUCAACAGCGCGCUAACUUUAGUUGCACAACGUGUAACUUUAGUACAAAAUUUUGCGGACCCCACACAUAUUGUGAAAAUCGAUGUACAACUAAUGAUCUGGACGCAUAAUUUUUUUUUGGCUAAAAUCUAGCUGUGAACAGUUCAGGAGCAGUCAUUCUGAGGGUUAGGAGCGGGAACGGUCAUCAGAUGGACCGUUCCCAAGCUGUCUCCUCACAAUCGUAGACGAAAGGAUUACAACCAGCCACGUCGAAUAGUUUUGGGAAGGUGGGAAAAACCACGGUGUUUCAAUUAGUAAUGGGAAAAAGAAAAUGAAACUGCUAACGGAUCCCGUCACGAAGCGUCAACUCCAGUCGAAAGCGCAAAUAAAGCGUCAAAACACAAUGCAUCGUCAAACACAAAAGUCUUUUGCUUUCCCUCCACACUAACUAUAGCCAAAUUUCAGUCACUCACAACACCAGAAAACGGAAGCAAAAAGAGAAAAUAAGAAAGUGCCUGGAGGCAGAACAAGCAAGUGGCUACAGGCAAGAAAGUGGCUGGGGCAAACUAGGAAAAGGGGAAAGUAAGGAAAAAUACAUUUGUGACUAAGGAGCAAUCCAACAUGCAGAGUUGUCGGCGGUUUGAAAUCUGGAAGGGCUUGGCAAAAGUGAAUCAAAUGGUAAAGCGGAACGUUGGGGCAUCUGGAGAAGAGAAAAGGCAAGAAACACCCAGGUAACAAAACAAAAUGUUAUGACAUCACUUUCGAAACUUAACAAGGUGCGUGAAGCGAUGGGAGUAGUUGUUAUUUUCGAACAAUGUCAUAAAUGAAUAGGUUAAUUGAUCUUUAAUGAUUUUGAUGGAACAGAAUGUUUAUUGGUACUAAAUAGUAUAAGGUAUGCAAUUUGGUGGCCAACAUUGAGAGGACAGGUGCAGAAAACUUAGUGCGCCAAGUAUUUGCAAAAUCGUGUGAAUGGGAUGUGGAAUUGGUUGUGUAAUAAUAUAACAGUGUACUAGUUAUUGCUUUGAACUUAUUGCUGAUUUUGUUGGCUAGCAAUGGUUGUGGGUGGAUUAUAGUUUGUUUGUUUGUGGUUUGUACAUCCUAUUGAUGGUGACAUACAAAGCAAAAAAAAAGUGUUACAAAGAUAGUUCCCUUAAGUAUGUAUCAGAGUGUUGUAUAAGAGACAUUUGAUAUAAAUAAAUAGUGACGCAGAGUAAAAUUGUUAAGCGGCGUGAAUGCAUAUAACACUGAGAUUGAUAGAUGCAUUGUGGGUAAAAAGAUUACAAGUUGUUUUAACUAGCAUGUUAGACAGCAGGUUAGAUAACUGUUACAUGCAGUGAUUCAGAAGUUACAAUAGCAGAAUUGAUAUGUAAAAUUGCAUGAACAUAUUGUGAACUUUCUAGAUAUUGUUUGUUAGUUAACUCAUAUUUGUAUAAGCACAGGAUAAAGAGAAGAAGAAGUCGAUUGUUUGGAAUUUGAUAGGUAGGGCAGCAGACGACAAGCUGAACAAAGUACGAAAAAUGAUUUACAUAGUGUUCAGUUUGACAUACAGUAUGUCAAACUGGUGUGGAAAAAAGGUUAUAAGUUUUGCUCCGCUAGUAUGAUUGGACAUGAAGUUGGAUAAGUGUAACACGCAGUGACUUAACAAUUACAAUAUAAGAACUGCUCUAUAAAAUACUAUAUUACAUAAUUGUUCAAUUGGUACCUCACAAUUGAUACAUAACUCAUAUGUGUAUAGUAGGACAAGAAAUAGAAGAAGAAAUCGAUUGCGUAAAAAAAUAAAUGAGUGAGAGUAGAUCGUAAGUGAAAUUUGCCAGGCAGAAUAAUUAACUCACUGUUAAUUUUGGACAAACAUAGUGUGGAACAAAAGUUACAAAUUUUUGAAAGUAUUGUUACUGAGAUUUGAGAGUGAUGUAUUAUAUAUGUUAUUACUUUGUAAUGCAUUCAAAAUAACCUGGGAAAGCAUAAUAGAACUGAAGUGCAGUUGUAUAACUCUUAGUUCAGAUGGCAGGAAAAAGAUCGAGAACUUCAAAUGGCCAAGGUGGUAGAGAUGAACCAGCAAGAAAGUUUGGUGACAAAGAACCCGAGACUUCAUCUAAAUCACUUAAUAUGUAAGUGGCUAGUGUUUGUGUCUCACAAUUUGUAUAGCACUCAAAAGUGAGAUUGGUGAUAAUUAAGCGGCAUAUUGCAGUGGGAAGAAGGCGGGAAAAAAAAAGGAAAAAAAUGACGCAAACACAACUGAAGAUGAGCAAAUGGAGGUAGCAGGAACAAGUGAGGUUGCGGAACCACUUCCACCGUUGAAUCCAUGGAUGAAGUUCAGGUCAGAUUGUAGGUAAUAGAAAAUAGCAAUCAUUGUUUAAUAGCACUAUUAAAUUUGUUUCACUGGACUUUGUGGGCAGGAAAAAGUAUCAGUGUAAGGUUUCGGCGAAAGGAGUAAAGGUGACAGAGGUAUGCAUAUCCAUCAUAAUAAAGAAAGCAAUUAAUCUACUAUUUAGAAAGAAGUACAUGGAAUAUAAGUGAGGACACAAGAAGUAGAUGAGUUUAACGUGGCUGAUAUUACAAUGUAUAUAAUAAUAUUGCCGAGCAGCAUACAAUGAGUUGAGUAAGGAAGACAUGAUGAAGCGAAAAGAUGAGUACCUGAAAGAGAAGAAGCAUGUGAGAAAGAAAUGGCACGCCUUGGAAAGUCGACAGUGCAAAAAACACGGGCUACGGCUAAGGUAAACAGAAUUUAUAAACUGUCAAGCACUUGAUGAAAAGCACUACCUGGCUAAUGCAUAUAUAUACAACUUGGUUGUAGAAUCAAAAGUACACCAUACGCUGCUCGCAAAUCAAAUGGUCACAUUUAUUUCAAGGAUCGACGAUACAAAGAAGCAGCAGAUUAGAGAGAUCGGGUUUAGAGGGCUACUAGACAUACAGUGCCAUUCCAUUCCAAGUGAUAUAACAACUUGGCUAGUGGAUAACUUUAAUCGGACACUAAACAGCUUGCAUCUACAUGGAGACGGUGUACUGCCUUUAACAGGAAAAGAUAUAGGUUUAGUGUUGGGCAUCCCAAAUGAAGGGCGAGUACUAGUUGAAGAUGCUGAUGCUAGCGAGGUAGGGGGAUCUGGGCCAAGACGUAGGACAUACAAAUGGUAAGAGCUACCAAAUGAGUUGGUGUCCAUGAGUCCUGGGGAAGAGUUCAAACAGCUGUUUGUUGCAUUUGCUUGUGGAUGUCUGUUAGCUCCAAGCACUAGGGCUAAUCACAAAAUAAAGCUUUGGAGUUGCAUGCAAGAAGUUGAUAAACUAGCCACUUUGAAUUGGGCGGAACAUGUUAGGAACGUGCUAUGCAAUAAGGUAUUGGAGAUACAGAAGAAAAGUAAAAAGCAGCACCAAUACGUUGGAGGAUGUAUUUUGUGUUAUUGGUAAGAAUAUUUAUCCUUCGCAAGCUGCAUUGAAAACGGCUUUAAUGAAUAUGGCAUGUAUGGAUACACCACACACUUUGUGAGGGCAGUGUGUACAUAAUAAUUAUAUGACAUGUGAAUACGAUAAUUGGGGUACCGUGUGUCAAAAUGAAACAAUUAACAAUAAGGCAGACAAUAAUUUAGUCAACUAAAUAACAUUAAAAUUUUUCGCUCUAUAUAUAUUGCAGAUUUAUUAUCUUGAUCAAAUGUCAAAAUACUAAAACAUAAAGUGUCGAGGACUAUUCCAAUAGCAAAGGCAUGGACAGAUGGUCUGAUCUCGAAGGGGAUGCAUUGGAGAUUGAUAAUCUUGGCAGCUAUGGAAAAGAAAAGCUGGUAAGAUUGGUAUUAUUAACAAUACGUUCCAAAUAAACUUAUAUAUAAUUUGUAGUCCAAUUCAUAUACAUUUCGAGGGUUGCUAAUAUAUGUUGUCGUAGGUUGGACCACAUGAAUUAGUGGAGGCCAAAGUUGGCUCGUCGAUGACUGAACCCCCUGAUCUGGUUGGGGCAAUGAUGUCAUGUCGAUGUAUGCAUAAGUGACCUCAAUAUUUGGUAAUGAUAAAUGUAUGCAAACGUAUUGUAAAUCAGUAGGGAUCUAAUUUGACAAAGCAUGCAUACAUCCUACAAAUAUGGAAUGUACAUGCAUUCAUACCAUUAAUAUGAUAUGGAAAAAGAAUGCAUGUUGGUUGUGAAAUGUUACUCGUGCCACAUGCUGGAUUGUGUAAAAUAGGUCUGUAGAAUUCAUUUUUGAAAUGUUGCAGGUUGAGCUCUCAGAACUGUAUAAAUUACUGUUAUGAGCCAACGGAGGAUACAGAAGCUUGCAGAAAUCAUUUCUUCGCAUCGGCGGGGAAAAGCAGCAUUCGAUUUGGUCGAAUUAUUGCACACGGGGAAAAAAAUAAAGACCAGAAGGUGGCAAUGCACCGAAAUACCGAUUGCGAAGAAGGAUCUGAAUAUGAAUCUGCAGAAGAAGGGCAUGAUGGUGAAAAGAACGAGAAAGAUGAUAAAGAAGAUGCGGGUGCCAAAGAUCAUGAUGAAAACCUUCAGGCUAGCGAUGGUGAAGGAGCUGGUAGAGCAAGAGAUGAUGCUAUGAAUAUAAGUAGGCAGCAUAAGGGAGAUGACCAUAGAAAUGACAAAGGUAUAGUGACAAAUAACAAUGGGCAAACGAAUGAAGGUCCUUACCCAUUUUCGGGCAUUGUGACACCAAUGAUAACAGUCACAAGUGUUGAAAGUAGACGACUAGCUGAAGUAAACAAUGAUUUCUUGGAGAUGGGCAAGGAGCUGCAUGCGAACAUAGAAGAUCAACAACAGCAGGAGCUGCAUAAUAGUAACAGCCGUGAAUGUGGUGAAGAUGUUUGUCUAGAGGAACAACCGUCAUAUCCCAGUCAGCUUGAAAAUCUCGCAUUUGAUGCACACACUCCGAGAAGGCUGCAUUCAUAUGGUCGAAAUCGACAAGGUUGGUUCAAUAUUUUUGUCUAUAUUUUCAUGGUUAAUAAAUAAAUGUACGAUACAGAACAAUUUUAGAGAGCAUUUUGAGAACUUACUUAUAUUCAGACUAUAUUUGAUAUAUACUCUAAUGAACAGUUACAAAGUGUUCAUUGGUUAUUACAAAUACGUUGAUCUCAAGUUACAUGCAGAAUAUCCUUUUUUACAGUCUCCAGUUAUAACAUAAACUCUAAUAUCCUUAAUCCUUGUCUUCAAUUGUCUCAGGGAAGAAGGUUGAGUAAAGGCCUAUUCGGGCAAUGAAAAAGAGCACGACGUUAAGGUCGGCCGAGUAUAUCCUGCCGGCACUUGUGACAGUUAGCUUGUAUGAGAAAAGGGUUGCUGCCUACACAUGGGACCCAAACAAGAAUCCCAAGUAAGUUUCUUACCAUGGCUUUAGUCUGAUAUCAACAUUUCCCAUCAUUUUUUUAAGCUAUACAGAGUUGCUUAUUGUACCAACUAAUUAUUGUAAAAUCUUGUGUAAUGCAAUGAUAGGGACAUACUGGUUCAAAUGUUCCAGUUCUCCCUAACACGCGUUGAUUUAAAGAUACUUGGCAAUGGCAUGCAUGUCUCGAAUCGGGUUAGAAAAUUUAAUGUUCAUGGCCAUGAUUAGCUUGCUUUUCCAAGCUGCCUUGUGAUUAAUGAUACAAUACCUCUAUAUUAUUUAUUUGCUAAUGUUUAAUUGAAAAAAAUCGAUGGAGCAUCAGGUCAUGGACAUGUUUGCCCGCCUACUAAAUUGGGGUGGGAAAGGUGUCGCAAAGAAUAAUGUGGAACGUUACAUCGUUGAACCCAUAGCAGUUGUGAGUUUUUAAAUUCACUUACCAUGUAUUGGCCAAUUUAUUUUUUAACCCAAGAUUUGAAGUUUGCUACGACCUGAAUAUAAAUGGAUCAGUAAUGGAACUGAAAUCCCCAAACCUCUGUGUCACGUUGAUGCUCGCAGGAAGGCAUUCUGAAAAUGCCAAAUUUUGAAUCACCUUUAAAUAUCAGCCUAUCUGCCAAAUUGGCGAAGUUGUUCAAGAUACGGAGUCGUGAAGCGGAAGCAGAUCCAGCCAACUGUUAUUUGGUAUGUAGUUACUAUUGGUAGAGAUGCUUUUUACUUAAAUUUACAAAAUAAGUCCUAAAUUAAUAAUGUACUUUUGUAUGCCUGUGUAAUAAAUUGCACUUGUGUUUAAGAUACUAACCCCUAUUUGCAAUGGGGAGCAUUGGUUUGUUUACUCCUUUGAUGUCUCGCUUAGUUUACCUUCUAGACCCCAACACUGAUCAACAAAAAAGCAAAGAUAUGGAUGUUCUAAAUCGUCUGGUACGUUGAAUGAAAUUCAAUAAUUAUUGUAAGUCUUUUUUAAUUCGAUAUAUGAGUUUGUGCUUGUUUUAUUAACUUGUGUGCUUUGUAGAAGCGUGGUUUGGGGUUGGUUAUUGCGACCAAAUUUGGCAAGGAAAUUGACUUUGCAAGUUUUUCCUUAGAAGUUGUCGAUGUGCCACAUCAAUUGCGAGAUAGAGUGUAAAUUAAUUUAUGUUCUGUUAUCAAGCAUAUUCAUCACCUUGUUUCACUUUUUUUACUUCAUUUUGCACUGAUGACUACCUUUAUCAUGUUAUCCUCAGUUACGACAGCGGUAUCUUCACAAUGGUAUUCCUGGACCAUUGGACUGGAUAGUUGCCUGCACGUAUCGAUAAGGUAUUGCUAACUUUCUGGCAUGAUUGAAUUGUAUUAUGAAAAAAAUGUUGUUAGACUUCACACGUUAUCGUCUAACAUAAUUUUGCUGGUUUGAUUAAACUAGACAAAUAGUGGCAAGUAUCGAGUACUAUACACGACUUGAUUGUGCAUGUUAGAGUAAAAUUCAAAAUUGACGGAUAUUAUAGCAACCUCACAAAUUCCAAAAAGAAAUAGUUGAAGUAUCGGCCGAGGUCUUGAAGUUGAGACUAUUCUGUAAACUGUUAUCAAGAAAUACAGAUAUUUUGUUUCGAAACAAAGAUUUUUUUUGCUAAAGUUUAGAACCCUGAUGAAGGGCAUCUUUAAUGUCGGAACACUUAAACAAAUUUUUUUGGAAGGCUUAAUGCAAGCCAAAUUGGAAUGUGUAAAUGUCGAUUACGACGUAAUUAGUUAUUUAUGCUAUAUAUCAAUUGUCUCGGUUGUGCUUUAUUGCAAUUUUUCAAUUAUCGUCUUUUCUAUGACUUAACUGUUGUGUGACAACCGCUCAUCAGGGUUGAAUUGCAAGUUUAAUUGGUUUACCAAAUGGAUUUUGAUAACAAACGGCGAUUGUGUAAAAAAUAAAUCAUGGCUGUUAGAAAAAAUUUUAGUUACUUUUUUCGCCAGACUACUCUUUUAAUGAGAAUGAGUAGUUAUAUGAUAUUUGUUUGGAAAUUGACCUUUUUAUCAUGACCACUUUACCCAAACGUUGGCGAUAAUUACAUAAUGUUGACGGACUAUUACAUAUUGAUGGUAACUCCGCUCAAGAUUUGCCUUUAGAUUUUCAUCGCAUAUUCUUUUAAUAGGGAAAAUAGAAGUCUUCACAUAAAAUUUGCGUUAGAUAAUAUUUUUUGUUCCAAUUCAUACCCUCUUUUUAUUGACAUUGGACCAAAUCUCAAACUCUAAUGGACAUAAAUAAUUAGCAGUUUAAAUACUAAAGCAGAUCAACCACCCAAUUUUUUUUUUUUACAAAAGCUACAGUAACCCUGAACCAAAGCACAUGAUAAAAAAUUGUUGUUAAGUUCUUUUGACAAUAACAGCAUCAAUUUUCCAUAACUAGUUGCUUACUCCACGUAACAUUAUUCGAAUAUCUAGUACUGCCGCUUUAAUGCUUUGUACGUAAACACUGCUGCAACUUUCACUCCAUGGUUGCUAGUUUAUAUCUGAGAGGAACCACAUAUUAACUACCACCUGUGUGAAUCAUCCCGAUCAACACACAACCAUUAUUUCAUCCUCUCACCCCAUAUUCUCUAAUCAUAUGCUCCAAAGGAGUUUUACAUCGUUCAGAUGUCUUCAUCUAGCAAUAUUGGUGGCAAAUCUAGUGAGUUAAGGUACCAAAAUCGCUACUAUAGUUGUGGAAGAAGGGCAGCUCUGAAGAUCGUCGAGUCACAGAAACCAAUGAAGGGGUUGCUGUACUUCGUCGGGAAGGAAAAGCUUGUGCUUUUUCGCUUGGUGUCAUCCAAUAGAGAGAAAUUAUGAGCAAGUUCAGACUAACUAUUGCCUUCCCUUACCUAAUCGACAAGCAAUAAACAGAGAAAACUCCAUCAACAGUCCCGGAAUAGUGAUCCAUGAAUCAAAUUCUUUCCCGUAUCAUGUGCAUCGAAUCGAACAAGAUAUUCAACAAAUAAAAACCUUCAUGACGAUAUCGGUAGCGGUCGCCAUUCUGUUGCUCCUAAUAGCAAUUUUUCACUGACAUCACUUUUAAUUUUUUGACCCAUAUGAUACGAACUUCGCCUGUAGUUUGUCGGAGAUGUAUCCUCUAUAGGCAAAGUAGCUGACGUCCUUGUACUGUUGACUUUCCAUUUUGACAGUUGAUCAAGAAGAUAGAGUAAAUAGUAGAUGCAAUCGUAUAGUUGAAUAAAACUGAUGGAAUCACAUUGAAAGUUUUUUGUGAAAUUAUAUGAUUGCUCUUUCAUCUGAAAUCACUUGUGUUGUUCAAUUGUUCUGUGUUAAUAACUCCAACAGCAUUGAAGCUAUUAAUUGUAUAAUGAUGCACGAAUGAUUACCUUAAUUGUAAAUUGUUACAAUUCAUCCGUUCUUACUUACAGCUUUGUUCGUUCUAAGUUACAAUAUUCAUAAAAUUAAAGGUCGAAUUGAAAAUCUCUAAUAGAGCAUCAGAAGCAGAAGGAGGUGCUCAUUCAGGUAGUGAAUUUGGGUUAUAAAAUGACCAAGACUAUUUAGUUUUACACAUCUGACUUUGGGCCAAGAAACUGACAUUCAUUGUGAGGUUUUGUGCACAACGUGUUACGUAUCACUGUGUAUGCACAUUGUCAAAAUUAAGGUCACUGAUGUGUAAUUCUAUAUUCACACCGAUACCCUUAAUGUUGCAGUACAGGUCAAGAGCAUGAUAAAAAUCGCAAAAUUUGUUUUAUUUUUUGAUACUGAUUAGUGACAUGACGUAACACUUAUCAAGAGUAUCGAUACUAAAAAUAUAGUUCAAUAUUUUUUCCAUACGAUUCACAAACUGUUCAUAUAUUGCUACAAUUCGUAAGUUCCUACUUACAGCUUUGUUCAUUCUGAGUUACAACAUUUAUAAAAUUUCUGGUCGAAUUUGAAAUUCCCUAUAAAGCAUUAGAGCAGAAGGAGGUACAGAUCGCUCACAGAGAUAGUAAAUUUUGGGUCAUAAACUGACCAAAGCCAUAGAGUGUUACACAUUUGAUUCUUGGCCAAAAAACUGUUGUUUUGGCUUUUCUUACCUACGUGUAGAGUGUAACUAUGUAUGCACAUAGUGAAACGUACAUGAAUCUAAUAUGUAACUCUGUAUCCACGUGACCCAUAAAGUUGGUAUACAGGUCAUUUCAUGAUAAAAGCUGCAAAAUUUAUUUUAUUGUCUGAAUUGAUUUGAAAUAGUUCACCAGCUGCAUGUGACUCUACAGCUUCCACAUUUGGGAUGAAAUUGUUGGUCUAGAAUGCAUUGGCUCCAAUAUUUUAGCACAUUGCGAGGGUCCUGCGGACUAUAAAAGGGCACAGUUGCAGUUUAUAUCCCUCAACAACACAAGUUUGUUUGUCCCCCUUUCAAUAUUGUUUACACUUUUCACUAUAUUCCAUUUCACACUUCCCGUUUCAUACAACUGAAGGGUGGCAAUGAACCCGAAUAUGAAAUUUAUUAUUAGUAGUCUUCAAUCCCCCUCCAACUUCACUUUUAGUGUCAUCAAUAGAGUGUUUGCACAGAAAUCAAAUUCUUGGAAGCCAAAUAGCAGCCAAUGGGUGGCAUGAUGUUCGAGAAGAUUUCGCUAAUUUAAUGAGAUGUUCGAGAAGGCCUCGCUACAUCAAUUGUUUUGGGGUUCGAAACGAUCAUCUCUAUAUUCUAAUUAGACACUCAAUAAAGUGUCUAAUGAAUUUAAUGUGUCGGGGGAGGAAUUAUUGUUUGUUCCAAGCGCCAUUGCACAAACAAGAUAAGAGGAAAGGUUCAUCGGACGUUAACUAGUUGUAGUAUCACUAGUUGUAAUAUCAGAGAAUAUCUAGUUGUAAUAUCACAAGUUUUAACUAGAGAAGACGAAAAGCUGCGGAUUGCAAAUUCAUUAGUUGUAAUGAAUUGUAACAUACACCUAACUAGUUGUAACUCAAUCUGUACAUGUCGUAAUGAUAAUUUGUUCCAUUUUAAAUAUUAUUUACCUCACUUUCAAAUUAGUUGUCCCAACGAAAUAUCAUGUUCUUCUGCGAAACUGUUACUUAUUAUGUGGUCGUGUGGAAUCAAGCCGAGCCGCCAAUUGUAACUUUAUAUCCGUACUAAAGGAGUAAUACCUAUUGAAGUGAAUGUAAUACUAUCUGUAAUACUCAUCGUUAAUACAAUUAGGCACCAAUUGUCUAAGUUUUAAUAUACAGGAACAUAACAAGGUGCCUGUACAAGCAUAUUAAUAAAUUGUAACAGCUUAUUAACUUCUUGUAACGUACAAUUGCAGCAUUCCCUGAUAGGGAUGACAUGGCUGCAUUUAGUAAAUGUUCGUCCAAUAGUUCACCGCAAAUCUGGUGAUACACACCUUAUGUCUAAAAAAUCUGGUGCUAGACACCGCAAAUCUGCUACUAGACACCUAAUGCCUGAAGCAAUUUUAGAGUUACAGUCAACAAACAUUAAUUUUAGAGUUAAUGUCUGACCCUUAAUAUUGGAAUACAAGUCAUUUCAUGAUAAAAGUUGACAAAUUUGUUUCAAUGUCUGAUGCUGAUUAGUAACGCUUGGGCUUACUUAUCAAGAGUAUCGGUACUAAAAUAUUUUCUAACAUUUUUUCGAUAUGAUUCACAAAUUGUUCAUAUAUUAUUACAAUUCGAACGUUGUUACUUACAGAUUUGUUCGUUCUUAGUUACAACAUUCAUAAAAUUUCUGAUCGAAUUUGAAAUGUCCUAUAGAGUAUGGAGCAGAAGGAGGUACGACUCGCUCAUAGAGGUGGUAAAUUUGGGCCAUAAACUGACCAAGGCCAUAGAGUGUUACACAUCUGACUCUUGCUCAAGAAACUAUUGUUUUGGGCUUUCUUACCUAUGUGUAGAGUAUAACUGUGUAUGCACACAGUGAAACGUACAUGAAUCUGAUGUGUAACUCUAUAUCCACGUGACCCUUAAUGUUGGUGUACAGGUCAUUUCAUGAUAAAAGUUGUAAAAUUUAUUUUAUUGUCUACGCUGAUUUGAAACAGUUCACCACCUGCAUGUGAAUCUACAACUUCCACGUUUGGAACGAAAUUGUUGGCCUGGAAUACGUUGGGCCCUGAUAUUUUAGCACAUUGCGAGGGUCCUGCAAACUAUAAAAGGACGCGGUUGCAGUUUUAUAUCCCUCAACAACAAAAGUUUGUCCGUCCCUCUUUCAAUAUUGUUUAGGGUUUAUAUUCUACUUCACACUUCUCGUUUCAUACUAUUAAAGGGUAGCAAUGAACCCGAAUAUGAAUUUUAUUAUUAGUAGUCUACAAGUCCCCUCCAACUUCACUUGCAGUGUUAUCAAUAGAGUGUUCACACAGAAAUUAAGUUCUUGGAAGUCAAAUAGAAGCCAAUGGGUUGCAUGAUAUUUGAGAAGAUCUCGCUAAUUUAAUGAGAUGUUCGAGAAGGUCUCGCUACAUCAAUUGUUCUGGGGUUCGAAACGAUCAUUUCUAUGUUCUCAAUAGACACUUAAUUAAGUGUCUGUGAAAUUUAAUAUGUCGGGGGGAGUUAUUAUUGUUUGGGCCAAGGGCUAUGGCACAAACAAGAGAAUGGCAAAGGUUCAUCGUAUUUUAACUAGUUGUUAUAUCAGUAGUUGUAGCACAUUGUAAUAUCAUAAAUUGUAAUAUCACAAGUUUUAAUAUCACAAGUUGUAAUAUCACAAAUUGUUCAUAUAUAGUUAUAAUGCAUACGUUAUUAGUUACAACUAUGUAUGUUACUAGUUACAACGUUCAAAGUUUGAGAUCCAAGACAUAACUAACACUCAAUCCUAUCCCGUGAAGAACAGGAUGAAAUGACAGACCCAGGCAAUUGUUGAAGGUAUUCAAAAUAAAUAUGUACUAUGCAUGCCACGGACAUCCGCUUUGAUAUCACACAAUAACUAAAUAACAUUGUGGUGUAUCAGACAAUAACUAAAUAUGUUUACAUACAUACACAUUUAAACGUUAUACCCACCAUCUGCCAUCCAAAUUUAUACCUCUUUGUUAUCUCUCCUCCUCCCUAAUAUUUUUGCAGACCAUCAUUCCUUUCAUGCAACCAAAAAAAGUAGGUCUUAGCAUAGUCAUGCAACCAAAUUUCGAAGGAUCUCCUACAAGCUCACGAUCAAAGGUUUAACAAAAAAUACGAAAAGUAUCGUCGGAUCCAACCAAUGCUCCAAGGAGGUACGAAACACCAGAUGCAAGGAUUUUAUAUGGUGCCAAACGCGAUUUCAAGAAUGCUCCACUUAACACCAACAACUCUCUGGAACUAGCUAGCCACAUUUUCAAAGAUAGUGUCCGCGAGCACCUAUCCUUUGGUAAUUACAUUAUGGAAUAUGAACCGAUAUGGGAGCCUAUUCGUGAGCGAAGAAUGGAACUAGAGGUAUUUUGUCACUGGCAUAGCCUCCGCGUCCUGAGAACACGCUCCGCAAAGCUUGUUAUAGGACCAGAAAUGAAUGUUGCAAGCGUAUUACAUAGACUACAGCGAGAAGUUAUGCAGAUGGAGUCUAGACUACACAGGUUUCACGAGGUUGAAACCGUAAAAAGGCAUGCUAUUACAAAAGAUUGUGAUGUCAAUAAUAUUUUAGCAGAUCCCAUGCUUAUAUCCGACUCGAACCUAUCUGACUUUUUUGAAUCAAGCGACGAUAACUUUCAGAGGUACAUACCCGAUUGUUUAAUGCAUGACGGCGUUCGCAGGUGUUGUAUGACAUACGACAGAUGACGAGACAUGUAGUCGAAUGUUCGUGAAGGUAGCAAAAAAAGUUUAAUCAUUAUAAUCUCUACUUUAACUUUUUGCCUCCAUUUGGAUAUUAAUGAUGCCUGUUAAAGAUCCUUGUACUAGUUCUAACAUAUUGUAACAUACAACUAAUUGCUUGUAAUUCAUUCUGUACGUUUCGUUAUGAAUAUUUGUUGCAUUAUAAAACUUAGUUUUGACAAAUGAAAUUAGUUGUCCCCUCGCACUAUCAUUUUCUUCUGUGCAACUAUUACUUUAUUGUGGUCGUGUGGUUAUUUGAUCAUAAUUCAAUUAGAAAAAUUCUUGUAAUACCUAUUGAAGUGCCUAUAAUAUAUCAUAUCAAUGGUGCGAACCGUUCGUUCUGAAAAUGUAACCCAUAUGUAGUGAAUUAUGAAAUUUUUUUGGUGACUAAAUGACACAUAAUAAUUCACCAAAGUAUUGUAACAAAAUAAUAACAAUUUGUUAAGGCCGAUUGCUAUAUGAUACAUGUAACUAUUCUAAAUGCCAUCCAUGCCAAUGAAGAUAUUAUUUACGAUUGGAGCUGAAUGUUGGACAAUACUAUAUAUAUCACGACAGCCAUUUGUUAUGGUAUUCUAUGAAAAAUACCAUAAUCAUAAAAGAAGAACGUUCAAUCGUAUUGCAAAAAUUGGUACUUUAAUUUUCAGUCAACUUUAUAAUUUCUUAACAACUUUAUAUAGCCCAUGACAGAACAAUUGAUGACUACUAAUAUUGAAAAAUAGUACAGUUGUAACCCACUUGUCUAAACUUGAACAGAAUUAAACAUUGAAGGUACCUGUAUAGGCACAUGAAUAACUUGUAACAGCUUAUUAAGUGCUUGUAACGUAAAUAUGCAGCAUUCCCAACAUUGCCGACAUGGAGGUACAAUAACAAAUGUUCGUCAAAAAACACCGCAAAUCUUGUUCAGGACAACUAAUAUAUGAAAAUAAAAAAAAAUCUAGUGAGUUACAGUCAACAUGCACUAAUUCAUUUCAAGAUUGUAGAUUAAAAGAAAUUGACAAUAUGGAAGCGAUUGAAACUGAACAAUAUUUUCAACAGAGAAGUACUAACAUCAAUAAAUGAGGUCAACUUGGUGAAUGAAUAAUCGAAACUCAAUAGUUUGGUCAACCACUCAAUGUGUCGUUAAAAAAUUGGACGUAUAUAUCGUUCAUCAACCUGCCUCUGCAAGAGGCGACGUCAACAACUAGUUGCAAACUCUGGGUGUUAUUUAUUUCCUAAAAUACGUAAUGAUGGUAAAUCAUCUAAUACACCUAAAGGAACAUACAAUUAAUAAUAUACGAUGUCCAAGUAUUCAAUUAACAAUACUACAUAAAUAUGUGAUGUAACGAUAAAAGUUUGUCACCUGCGGUGAUGAUGAAAAUACAUGAUAUGCAUCAAUGUCACAGUGUGUUGAAAUUGCCACACGCUCCUCCUAUAUUAUAUAAUAUAACUAUUCAACUGUCAACAAAUCAUUACCAGUGCCCAUAUUGCUCACUUCAAAAGCUAAAUUGGACAAGACAAUAUAAAAAAUGAUAUAUCAGAUCAUUAAAAUAUCUCUGACGGAAUUAUACUUGAAAAAAAUAAAAAAUUUGGAGUACAUCCAUUUUGUAGGGAUUGUUGCAGGAGACUCCUGAUUAGGCAAACGGUGGACCUUCGAAUAAUACAAAAUAAUUUAUUAUAGAAGCGAUCAUACGUUAACUAUAUAAUAGACAUGUUUUGAAGCGUUCAGAUGCCCACCAUUACAAUAUGCAGAAAAGUAGUUGUACGAUACAAAUAAAAAAACUUUUAUUUUUUCUACUAAAUGUAUGCAUACCAUUUCACUUUUCUCGAUUUCGGGACCAAUAGCAUUUGAAGGGCCAUUUACUGACUGGCUCCUUGAAUGCGUCUACGAGUUUAGAAUGAUCAAAUAAUUGUAUAAGACAAAUAAAAUAGGUAUAUCAGGAGAGAUGAUGGGCGUAACAAAAUUAUCACAUAAUGUAACAUCAAUGUAACUAAUUAUAUACUAUUAUAAACAUCUAAAUAAAAGCUAAAGCCAUGACCAUUUUAUACUAAUUGAAACAGAGUCAGUAGAUGAAUGGCAUCCCAAAAAUAAGUGUUCAUCAAAUUCAAGCGACGUCGGCUCUGAUUCUGAGACCUGUAUUAUUGACACAACAAUAAUGUUAUUUCAUAAUGAAUGAUAUUUAAACUUGAGUUAAUGGUAAUAUAAUAAGAAUGUUUUAACAUAAAUGUUUACCAUAACAAAAAAUAGAUCCAUACCAUAGUCUGUGUAGUCCUUGACAAUCUAGAUUUUUUUUUACUCUGUCAAAUUUAUCGACCCAACUUUGCAUCACUCUAUUUCUCUUCCCAUCGGCUCAUUUUUUAAUGCCUUUUGAGACUACUGCCUCUCCCAUUUCAUUUAUAAUUUCAAUUUUAUCACGUUCCUCUACAUUCAAUUUUUUAUGAUUUUUGAAAGUUGCUCUUCGUUUUCUGAGAAGAGGAACUCAACUCUCUUUGCCAAAUUGGAUAUGACGGUGAUUACUACUUUGUUGGUGUCUUCCGACAUUGCUGCUCGAAUUGGGACUUUAAUCAUAGCUGGAGCGAACUCCCGAAAAAGAGUUGAAAUGAUUGCUUUUGGAUUAGCCACAAUUUUCCGUUCUCGCCAAUCAAAACAGUCUCCAACUCGAGCUCUUUUUGUCCAUCAUCUCUUAACGUAUUCAAAAGAUUAUUUUAUGCUUACGGUAUCAAACACCUUCAACGCGUGCCCACACAAAAUUCCUUCAGUCUCGUAUUUUUUACAACUACAACGUACACUUAGAUCAUUUCGAUUGAAUACUACUAUUCUUUCAGGUCCUCCAUCAUAUCUCAUGACAAAAAACUCCACAAACAUCCCUGAUCUUGUUGUUUCAAUAUAACCAUAGCUGUUGACUUGCCAUAUUCAUUUUACAAUGCAACAAAUACAGUUGGUGAAUAUGUCUCUGCAGCAUGCACAAGUAUAGGUGUUUGACUCAACCCAACCAUGGAGAGCUUUUGCCUCAUUUCAUAUUCUGCGAUGAGUUCAUUAUAUCUUUUAUCAUCAACCACGAUUAAAAUGUCUAAAGAACUGCAUAAGGUCGUGAUCCAGUUUUAAAUGAUUUUUAAUUGCUGCAUUUAGGCUUUCGCUAAGUUGCGUGCUUCGCAUUUCCGUGGUCCAUCUUUCUUUCAUCAUACAUCUUGUUCACUUAUCGCGAAUUCGAUACAACCCGAAAAAUCAUUCAUUAUUUCAAGAUUGUGUUUCUGCACCAUCGCCUCCCACACCCUGUUGAAUUAUUCUAUUUCUUCAAUCUCAUACAUGUAGGCACCAAACAUGUAUGGAAGGUCACUACUUUUCUUGUAAUGAUUGCUAAAAUAUUCAUAAAAUUACGUCUUAUGUGAAACGUACAUAGACCGUGAACAUUUGGCGCAUGACAAGUGAAAGAGCGGCUACCAUGGCGUGAUCUUGUCAGUUCGUAUGAUCCUUGAAUGCUUUCGCACAUUACUUCUAGAAAUAUACCAAACACCACUUGAAAGAAUCUAUCGUCUCAUCAUACAUAAGGGCAGCACCGAAAUAUCAAAUUUGCUUAUGGGUUGAAACCCACAAAUACUCCAAGUUGCCGGUAUUCUUUAUUUAUUUUGUAGGGUUGUGUCGAAUGUGACUAUGUCUCUAAAAAAAGUUGUAGUCAAUUAACAUUCUACAUCACCCAAAAUAUUCGUUAUCUGUUCUUCACAAUCUAGUUGUACGCAUUGAAAAAGAUGGAUUCUCGAGUGUUUACUCUUGAAAAUAAUUCAACAUGCUACCUGCUUCUCCAUAUUUCAAGCUCCUUUCCCGUCUCAUUCGAAGAUAUCGUUUAACAUCAUCCGAGUAUAUCCCAUAUACCCAUCCAUGCCUGCCUUUCCCAUAAGCUCAUGGCUCUGUUUCAAUGAAAACCCAGUAUCCUUGCUUAUUUCAAAUUGGAAUCCUUGAGCUACACUCACUUUUCUUUUGAUGACAUUAUGUACGCACAUUGAAUAAUGUGCAACUCAUGUUAUGCUCUAAGAUAAGGUCAUGCACACGUACUUCAUUGUCCCUCUAAGCAACACGAUAACUAUUUUAGCUCCACACCCUAUUCGUCGGCUUUCGUGUCCUCUUUGGCAUCACAUCACAUUCGUACUUGCGCUCACACCUUCUUUGCAGCAACUAUCUCCUAGACAUGGUCACGCCGCCGUUUAUUUUUAUUCAGAUAGUCUUUACGUACACUAAAAAUCUAUUUUAAAGGCAUACUUCUUAUAAAACUUGUACGCAUCCUCUUCACUGUUGAACUCCAUUCCUAACUCAGGGUCCAUCUUCUGUCAAUUUGUUGCAAUCCAUUACUUCUGCUCCUGCCAAUUAUGCAUCAAACACCCUAAUUGCAACACUUCAUGAAUAGUAUGUAGAUAAACGACAACAUAAAUGUAUAUUACCAUUCAUAAUGUGUUAUGAAAUAACAUUAUUCAUACACCAAAUCUUAUUGUUACGCUUAUCAAUAUGAUUAAUGAUUCACAUCACUUUACUUUGACUCUAAGACAAUGACAUUGUCUAUGUAGAAAUUCAACUCCAUGUGCACUAAAUUAUACGGACUGUGAUGUGUUUGGUCACACGAUAUAAGUCUUUUUUAACUGUAUGUAUAUCCACUAUGGUAAUUAUAUUUAGGUUCUAGAUUUCUUAACUCACUGGAUAGCCAACUCCGCAUUUUAUACUAUUUCUACAUUUUGAGAGCCAAACAAGUAUUUUCUACUCAUUGUAAUAUAUUUCUUACAUCAUGUAAUUUAUUUACAACACCAGGUACGCCCAUUUAUUAUUCACAUCUAUUUGCCUCUUUUCCUCUUUUUCACCUCAUUCAACUCUACACCUCCAUUUUAUACACACUGCAUGAUCCGGAGAGGGGCAAAUUAAGAUUGCAUGAUGAGCAUGGACCAACUACUGGAUGCACAAUGAUUCAUACCAAUUGUAAUGCAGUGGUUAUAACCUGUAACUUAUUUACAACAGGAUGUACAUUCGUUCACUUGUUAAAUGUGACUUUGUUUCUUUCAUCUUUUCCUAAUCCCGCUUGACGCUUUACUUUAAUACAUACCUUUGGGUUUUCGGAUAACUACUAUUUUACUAUAGUCCAUCACUGAAAAGUUGAAUGCUCACACGCACUUGAAUACAGUACAAAUUGACUCACAAACACAACCAAUAUUAUGUUUUUAGUAACUCUAAUUUCAUCCCUAAACCCUAAACCGAUGUGCAUUGGGUGACAAAUGAUUGACCACAGUUGAAGGCGAUGGUUCAAUCAUGUUAUCUUGGUAUGCUAAUACGCUUUAUGUUUCACCCAACUUGGAGAGCGUAGUUGCUUCUGCUAUUAAGUUGCACGAUUUUCACCAAAUUCGUCAGAUGAUGAAUUUUCUCUGUUUGCUUCUACCUUCAGUUUGCUUCCUAUUUGCUUCUAAUAGUUUGCUUCAGUUUGCUUCAUAAUAGUUUGCUUCACGACCUUCAGUUUCAACCAAGUUUGCUUCAGUUUCCUCACUCUUUGCUUCCUCUGUUAGAAACAGUUCAGUCGUGCAACCACUCUCCAGUCCUUUGCUUCCUUGGUUCAGUCAUUUGUUUUUACUAUUAGGGACUCGGAGAGUACACUCUUCGGGCGGUUUUUGUUUUGUGCGGCUACUUCAAAUUUUCAACUUUCAAAAUUUCAACUCUUCCGUUUGUUCCGUCUGUUACCGUCACAGCAAAUGCAACUUUUUUUGGAGCACCCAUCGUUUUUUAGCCUUCCUAACGCGGCUCAUUUCUCACCUCACGGUUAUGUUUAUGAGGAGAUCGUGUAGGAGCGGUCAUCAGAUCGACCGCUCCUACCCCGUAUCCGUCAAACCCCUCCAAGGUCUAUCGAUAGAGGAGUUUAUUUUGAAAUCUUUUUUGGAAUAAUCGCUAUAGCAAUUUUUAUGACAUGAUAAAUGUACGUGAGAUAAAAAAAGAUAAUUAGAAAGAUUAAAAAAUAAUAAGAAAAAUCAUUCAAAAUGUCCCUCACAUUUUAAAAAAUGACUUUUUUCAUCACUCACUUUUAAAAGUGUAAUUUAACAUCUCUUACAAAUUCACAUUGAUCAAAUUUGGUCCAUACUUAGGUUUUCGACUGAUUUUUUGGCAGAAUUCAUCACGUGCCUUGCAGGCAAUCAUUUUUUAGGGGCAAAAUUAUCAAAUUAAAAUUUACAUAAUCUAUCUAUAGUCCCUUAUUUUUCACAAAUAAAUUAUUUCGUUUCUCAAAUUUCACAAAAUAAAUUUUUUCAUCUCUCACAUUUCACAAAAUGAAUUUUUUCAUCUCUCAUUGAUCUUGUAUACGAAUAGUUUUUUUUAAAUCCAUGUAUAUAUCUAUUUGAUUUCAUCUAAAUAGUACAAAUAGCAUAUAAUAUAUCUCUAUUUAAUUUCACCUAAACAGAUUAAUUGUAGUUGUACAUCUGUUAUUCAAUAGAUAUAUAUUGGUUUAAAUCUAACAAUUUUAUUUUAAACCUAUAUAUAUAUCUAUUUGAAUUCACCAUGAACAUGAGUAAAAAACUAACAAUUUUUUUAAAUCCUUGUAUAUAUUUAUUUUAAUUUUACUUAAAUAGUACGUUCAGAUGAAAAUCAAAUAAAGAUAUAUUACAUGCUAUUCGUAUUAUUCAAGUGAAAUCAAAUUGAUAUAUAUAUAUAUAUAUAUAUAUAUAUAUAAGUUAAAAAAGUUAUUCGUAUAGAUGAUCAACGAAGAAUGAAAAAAAUUAUUUUGUAAAAUAUGAGGGACAAAAAAAUUCAUUUUGUAAAGUGUGAGGGACUGUGAAUCAGAUUAUGUAAAUCUUGAUUUGACAAGAUUGUCCUUAAAAAAUGAUCAUAUGCAAGGCACGUGGUGGAGUCCAAUAAAAAACUAGUUGAAAACCUAUAUAGGGAUCAAAUUUGACCAAUAUAAAUUUGCAAGGGACGUAAAAGUAUACUUUUAAAAGUGAGGUAUGAAAAAAGUCAUUUUACAAAAUAUGAGAGACGUUUUGACGAUUUUUUCAAAAAAUAUAUAUUUAUAAUGUAAGAAAAUAAUUUGAAAUUUUUGGAUAGAUGUUAUUUGGAAUUUUUUUAAGAUAAAAAAAAACUUUUUAUGGUAUGAUGUAUUUGAAAUAAAAAGUGGUUCAAGAUAUAGAACUUGAAAAACGUGUUGAUAAUGUUGAGCACUUGUCAGAAGUCCAACCUCCAGCCCCUUUGCAUAGCCCUUCUUCCUACAGUUGCUGACAUUUGACAAAGAAAAAAAUAUAUUUAAAGCAAGUAUAAAUUUGAGAUAUUGUAAUGUAGUUCAUUAGAUAUUUUGAUGUUUAUAAUUAAUAGGCCGCUAGUUGGGAGGUUAUCCUUCCGUUUCUAGUUUCCCUACCCUCUAUGGUUGAUGAUGCGUUGAAGGCGGUGGCUACUAGUAUCAUCCAUGCCAUGGUUGAUCGGGUAGUGGAGGAAGACUCUCAAGCAACGGAGGAUGGCGAUGACGACUCCGAAAGAACAGACGAUUCUUCGCCUGACCCAUUAGCGGGGCUGUUUGUCUCCUCGAUUGCCAAGGCCACAAGGUACUAUAUUAGAGUGUUCUCAUUCUGUGAUCGAUCACCUGAAUGUAGACCAGUUAUUGGCACUGGAGCAGGGGCGUCAAACAGCUCGAGGUCGUGGCAUACGGGCCAAUUUUCCUUCAGAUAGAGAGCUCAGGUCGAUGAAACAUAACUCUCAAAUUCUUUUCAUGCUUUAUCUAAUGAUUAGUGCACUUUUUUGGAAUAUUCGGGGGAUUUCUAGAUCUCCAAAUUUACGAAAGCUCAAAAAAUUAAUUUUGUUACACAAGUUGUCAGUGGUUGGGAUCUGUGAGCCUAAAUUCUCGACAAGAGACAUGGAAUCAAUUCGUGUGCGUUUGAAUUUUGAUCAUGUGAUUUCUAACCCGUCAGGGGAUCUUUGAAUUUUCUUUAGAUUUUCUUUUACCUCCAUGGUUGUUGGGGAGUCUGACCAACACUUGUCUAUCUCAUUUUUUCAUCCCCAUCGAUCCUGUCCUUUUAUUGUUUCCUUUGUUCAUGCUAAACGUACUGCUGCAGAAAGGAGAAGGCUUUGGCCUACUUUGCUUCGCGACAAGCCUUGUCACGAGCCAUGGUAUAUUGUGAGGGAUUUUAACCUUAUUUUAUCUCCAAAUGAGAAGAAGGGAGGUCGGCCGUUUCAACCAUCUCAGGGCUUGGAGUUUUCCCAAUUCAUGGGAGAAGCUGGUAUGCUUGAUGCAGGGUUCUCUGGGUCCAGUUUCACUUGGUGUAAUAAUAGACAUAGGCGAGCAAGAAUCUGGAAGUACCUAGAUCGGGUAUUACUUAACAAUGCAUGUUUAAACGAUUCGACCUCGAUGGUUGUCUCCCACUUGGUGUGGGAGCCCUCUGACAAUGGCCCACUUCUCCUUUCCUUCUCUACCAGGUUGGACAAUAAGUCUCGCACUUUUAGAUUCCUUAACGUGUGGACAUCUAAGAAUAGUCUAUUGGAUGUAGUGAAGAUGACUUGGAUAGGUGAUGUCAGUGGCUCUCCGUUGUUUAUCGUGUAUGAACCAAACUGAAGAGAGUCUCUCAUGCUAUUCAGAAACGGAAUAAGGAGACAUUUGGAGAUGUUUUUCUCAACGUGAAGAGGGCCAAGGCAGCGGUGGCCCGGCUAAGCUUCAGAUUGAGGUAGAUAGCUCGGAGAAGAAUUUUGUUGAGUUGAAACGGGUACAAGCUGAAUUGCGGAGGGUCCUGACUGUAGAGGAACAAUUCUGGAAACAAAAAGCCAAGGUUAAGUGGCUCCAGCACGGGGAUAAUAAUUCUAGAUUUUUCCAUUCAGUGGUGAAACAGUGAAGAUAUCGGGCAGCAAUUCACAGCAUUCGAGACUCCCAGGGCACUUGGAUUACUGAUGAUGGCACAAUCGGGAUGGAAGCCGUGAAGUUUUUUGAUGAUUUAUUAUCGGUGGAGUCUUCUUCAGACUUUAGACUGGUCCAUGUUAUUCCCAACUUGAGUUCCGAAAUUGAUAAUAGAUGUCUGGAAGAGGCCUCUUCUUUCGACGAGGUUACGAGGGUAGUCUUCUCUAUGGAUGGUGAUAGUGCAGCAGGCCCAGAUGGCUUCACUGGAAAGUUCUUUACCUUUGCUUGGGAGGUGGUCGGUCCUAAUAUCUUUCAAGCGAUUCUCAUUUUCUUUUGUAGAGUUGAACUUUCUUGAUUUGUCACAGUUACCUCAAUUUUUCUCAUUCCAAAGGUCCUAAAUCCGCAUUCCUUCUCUCAAUUUCGUCCUAUCAGUGUAUGUAACUUUUUGAAUAAAGUCAUCUCUCGAGUUUUGGUCAGCCGAUUAAGUCCAAUUUUGCCUCGGAUUAUUUCUCCUCAGCAAAGUGGUUUUGUUCAGGGUCGGGCUCUGUCGAACAACUUUCUCCUGGUUCAAGAGAUGAUUACAGAUAUUGAAAAAAAAUGUAUGGGACGGAAUGUAGUGCUUAAACUGGACAUGGCGAAGGCGUAUGAUAGGAUGUCAUGGGUAUUUAUUAUUAGAGUGUUGCGCCACUUUGGAUUUGGGGAAAGGUUUAUCGAUAUGGUGUGGCGGUUGUUGUCAAAUGUCUGGUUCUCAGUGCUUGUUAAUGGAGUUCCGUACGGCUUCUUCAAGUCUAGCCGGGGCCCUUUGACAGGGUGAUCCCUGUCGCCGGCCUUAUUUAUUAUUGGAGCUGAGGUUUGUCCAGAGGGUUGAAUUUAUUAUAUUCCCAAUCGAAAUUUUGUGGGUUAUAACGUGCCAAGACACUAUCCUACCAUCUCUCAUUUGGCCUUUGCAGAUGACAUAAUAAUCUUUGCCAAUGGGUCGGCCUCUUCGUUAACGAAAAUUAUACGAGUGUUAGAGCUAUAUCAAAAGGUAUCGGGUCAAUUGGUGAACACUAGUAAGAGUGGGUUCCUGCUUCAUCCAAGUGUCCCAAUGGCUCGUCAAGGUAUCAUCGAACGAGUUACUAAAUUUCGAGAAGAGGUUCCCCAUUCGAUAUUUGGGACUUCCAUUGUAUACCGGCAGGUGCAAGGGAUUUUAUUUUCGGAUUUGAGCCAGCGAAUGGUUGAUAAAGUCCUCUCCUGGAAGACUCGGCUCUUGUCAUCGGGUGAGAAGAUCAUUUUGAUUAAGCACGUGCUUUCAAGUAUUCCCGUCCACCUCUUGGCUGCAGGGGUCAUUCCAAAAAGUAUAUUUCAUAUGAUUGAGCGGGUAUAUGCAAAUUUCUUGUGGGGGAUGACUAAAGAGUCUAGAAGGUUUCAUUGGGUGUGGUGGAGAGACUUAUGCUUCCCACCAGAGGAGGGUGGCGUUGGAUUUCGGUCGAUUGAGGACACUUAUAGAACUUUCUCCUGCAAGUUGUGGUGGACCUUUAGGCAGAAUCUCUCACUGUGGGCUAUGUUCAUGCGAGCCAAAUAUUGUCAUGAUACUCACUCUUGUCAGGUUGCCCUGAGAUCUCCUAGUUCAGCAAUAUGGCGCCGCAUGUUGGACGUUAGGGGAUUUGUGGAGUUAUUUAUACUUUGGAAACCUUAUAGUGAUUUUUGCCACUUUUGGUAUGACAACUGGACGGGGUCAGGUGCAUUAUAUCUUCGAGUGGAUGUGCAGGAUCAUUUGUCCUUCCAUGACUUUAUUGUGUGCGGGACAUGGAAUAGCCGCUUGUUGUCUCAUGUCCUUCAGUCUGAUUUAGUCCAGACUAUGGUAGGCAUGCCGAUCCCCUGUAUUUCUUCAGUGCACAGGAUGGUAUGGACGGCGUCAUCUUCUGGAAGUUUCUCAUUAUCCUCGGCUCUCCAAGAGGUGCGACAGGCUAAACCCUCAUCCUUCAUGUUCAGUCAGGUUUUGCAUCCGCACAUCCUUCUAAAAAUUUUCUUCUUCAUGAUGCGUUUGUUGCGGGGACGGUUGCUUUUGGAUGAUAUUUUAACCAGAUAUUGUGUUCACUUACCGUCUAAAUGCUUUUGCUGUUUGAAGCCUAGUGUUGAAAUGCUAUAGCACGUAUUCAUGUCGGGUGAUGUCGUAAAGGCAGUUUGAAAGUUUUUUGGGCCUCUCGGAUCUCUCUCUAGUCUUAACUUGGCGCGGGAGCAUUUAACGGUACAGUUGGAAAAUUGGUAGUACAAGCCUACUAAGUCUGCGAGGAUAAAAUUUGUCUUUCGGCUCCUACCCGUAUUUGUGUGUUGGAAUUUGUGGAAAACGAGGAAUUCAGCAGUGUCUGAAAGGGUUAUCAAGAAUGUCCGAUCUAUUUGUGGAGCUAUUUUUCAAAACUUGAAAGACGCAUACUGGAUGAAAUUUGGGGAAUUACAACAGGUCGCAUCUUGGCCCCAAUUCUUGGGUUUGGUGGAGCAAUGCCCUGAUGUGGUUAAGUUUCGUCUAGUUCAUUGGCAGGCUCCACGGCUGUCAAUGUUUAAAUUUAACAUAGAUGGGUGCUCCAAAGGUAACCCGGGAUUGAGUGGUAGUGGGGGGAUUCUUAGGGAUGGCUCAGGGAAGUUCAUCUUCGCUUUCGCUAGUUGCUUUGAUGUUGCUACUAGCUUGUAGGCCGAGGCUAAAGCAUUAGCGUUUGGACUGAGUUUAUGUGCCCAAAGAAAUUUUUUACAGCAGUUGGUGGUUGAGUCGGAUUCGCUAGUGCUAAUAAAGAUUCUGAGGAACGAUUACCAAUGCCCAUGGACGAUUAGUUAUGAGAUCGAGCAGUAUUACGAGUUCUCUCAGGGGAGUAUACAGUUCAACCAUUGCUAUCGCAAGACCAAUAAGGUUGCGGAUGUUCUUGCCAAUGUGGGGUGUGCCUUGGUUGAAUCGGUAUGUAUUUAUGAACAUUUCAAGGACUUACCAGGUGUAGCUAGGGAUGAAUAUCGCUUGGAUAAAUUAUCCUACCCGUCUAUUCGGCGACGUCGAGUUAAGUAAGUAAGUGUCUUGUACUUGUCUUGUAUCGUUGAAGUCAGGCUUCUGUCCCCCUCAAGAACUGUUCUGAGGCAAUAAAAUCCAAGCAUGUUGGUUUUUUUUUUUUUAUUUAAAAAAAGGUUCUUCCAUAGCUGUUAAACUCGACUUGGUAAGGAAAGAACUGAGUAAUGGGUCAUUGGCACAAUUAGUGGAUAAUUGAAUUGAUGGGUCAUUAAAAUAGAAUUUAUAGAUGAAGUGUUUUUAAAUAUUAAUUAUUACAUUUAGAAAAAUAUAUAUGAAUAUAUAAACAUUAAUAAUAGAUCCAGUUCCUUUAUAUCGUACUUUACAAAUAUAGAUCGUGUAAUUAAAAUAAAUUAUGGUAUUUAGUAAAACAACAAGCUUUUAAGGGAAAAAUAUUUUAAGGAAAUAGAAUGCAAUUUUUAUUAAUAUGUUACCUGAAGAAUAUUUCUAUAAUUAUCAACUAUUGUUACAUAAUAAUAAUACUUUAUGUUUGAAAGUUGAAUUAAUUAGACAAAAAAAAUUUUUGAAGGGACAUUUAGUAAAUGAAUGUCAGCUUAGCCUAAUGUUAAAAUCUUUAUACAAUAAGCGGAGAGAUCCAAGGUUCAAACUCACGGGUUGCUAGUUGAACCAAUCAAAUUAGGAAUCCAAUUUGUCCUAGUAGUCGGUUCACCGGGUCAAAAUGGUUUAACCGUCAAGUUGAAUCGAAUUCAAUAACUAUUAAUUUUUCUAUUAAGUGUAAAAGUAAGAGAUUGGUCUAGUGUCUAAUUGGGGACAGGAUUAAGUUAGAUAGUUAGGUGGGAAGGGUUAUAAGUAAAAAGUUUUUGAUUCAAAUCUUUUCACUUACCAAAAAAAAAAAUCUAGUGUCUUGUUAUCUGCAAAAGUUCAUAUUUUGUAAGUGAAAGUAUAUGCAAUUCAGGAGGCAAAUCUUGGUUCAAGUCUACCCUUUAUUUUGUAUACUCAUCUAGCGUCUUUAGGCCAUAACAUAGGUAAAUAGUAGGAAAAUUCUAUGUCCGUUCUCCUUAUUUUUGCAUGAUGAUAAUGAUUUAUACCUUAUGUAUUUGGAUUAUUACAAUCCAAUGGUCUAAAACACUAAUUUUAUCACCCAACGGUAAAUUUAAUUUGAGGAUAUGAUCUCCCAAAACCAUAAUUCAUAACUAUCUAUAUACCUAUUCACCAGUUGAGAUAUUCUAAAAAGCUUUUGAUAUUCAGACAUGUGUCAUUUCGUUAGGUUAUUUAACUAUUUUAUUAUUUAAUAAAUUUAAUUGAUGACAUCCAAUGAUUAUUUUGUUAAUUAAAUUCAAAUAUUUAACUCUGGACAUGCCACUGGAUAUAAAUUUAAAUGUCUAAAAAAUCCUUAUUUUAUUCUAAAAUUUUAAAUUACUUUUCAUCGUUUUGUAAUUCCAAUGCAUAGCAUAGGCAACAAAACUAGUUAUAUACUAUUCAAUAGCUAAAAACUUCUAGAAUCUUUUCUUACUAAUUUUCAAGAGUUUACAAUUAUUUUUAAUUCUCCAAAUUUUUAUUGUACAAUAUAUAAUACACACCAUAUCAUUUAUGUCUUCAAAUAAGAAAGAAUUCUACAACAUCCAUAACAGUUUCAAAUUUCAAAGGCUUCUAUCACAUCCACACCACUUUAACAUUAAAAAAAAGGUAAAAGUCUAUCCAAAAUCUUUACAAUUACAAACAAAUAAUAAUCAAUCACCGAAUUACAAGUAAUGAUAAAGAUCUUAGAUAGUUUUUCUGUGCUUGAUAAUAACAAUAUUAAAUACUCUAUCUUAAAAUGUAAAUCAUUUUUAACUAUUUGUAGUUCUCGUGCAUAGUAUGGGAAAUAAAGCUAGAUAAUAAUAACGAUAAUAUAGCUCAUGAGAAAACUAAUUCAUUUUUUUUCUUUUGAUGAAAAAUUAACAUUUAUUUAGGCAUAUUUAAAAGAUCAGCCCUAAUGCUAGGCUGAAAAAAUGUUGAAGCAUUGAACUCCCAUACAUUUUGAGAAUCAAUCAAUUUCUCAUGCCUUGCUAGAGAACAAGCGACUCCAUUGUCAUAUCUACCCACCUACUCUAGACUAAACUGAUUUAUGUUUAUUGAGGGACUGUUGAACAUCCUCUAACAUAGACCCUGACACAAAGAAAUUUUCUGAAUAAUUCUUAGCAGCUUAAAACAUUAAUUGCAACCCCUCUUAGAUGAGCCAUGUCCACAGCUUUAUUUAAAGCUAGAUAGUUUCUGCAACUUCAGGAUGAUUAAUACCAAUAAACAACUUGGAAGACAAUGCAAGAAUCUGCCUUCAUGGUCUCAUGCAACAAUUAAACUUUUGGGCAAAAUACAUUUUACUCCUGUGGUUUAACGCUUUUUCACAUAAUUCUCUCAUAAUUUGAAUUAAAGUGUCAAAAUGAUGAAAUUUAUAUUCCAUAACGGAGUCAACUAAAACGUCAAAACCCCUAUGUCAAGCUGAAAAUUAGUUAGGGGUUAUGUAUCUAUUUUGAAAACCAUAAGAGGGUUAUGUGGUAAAAUACUAAAUCAUAAGGGGUUAUAUGGUAAAAUAUAAAGUUAUAUGGGAUUAGAGUGUCAUAUAUAUUAUAUUUAUAUAUUUUGGUUACUUCAGUUAUUUUAGUUUUUAAAAAAUGGUAAUUUCGAUAUUUUCAUGGGUUCCACUACAAAUGAUCAUUUUCAUCAUUUUGACACUUUAAUCUAAACUGUGAGGGGUUAUAUAUAACUUUUAAAAUUAUAAGGGGUUAUGUGAAAAACGUUAAGUCACAGGGGGUAAAGUGUAUUUUGCCCUAAACUUUUCAGUAGUCAUAGAGAAUACAUCUGAGUGAAAAUUAAGUGAAAUCAAAAUGUACAUCAUUCAAUGAUUGUUAGGAACAAGUUUAGUCUCAAGGCUGUCAAUAUCAAAAAGUUAAAUUGAUUACAUGGGGUUUCUGACUUUCCGGAACCUAUUUGAAAACCGCUAUGAAGUUGAAGCAUUUAACCACUUACUUUCUUCACCAGUAUCAAAUUUUUCCCUAAAAAAUUUCAAGUUUAUUUCAUAUAUUUGGAGAAUAAAGGGGAUUCUUGUUUGUACAAAUGGUAACUAUUCAUUUAGCCACUUUUUAAUGAGGAGGAGGUGUUUGAUAAAGUAAAGGAAUAAAGAAAAAGGAGCCAUAAAUCGUUGUAAAUUAUGAUACGUACUAUCUAGACAGCUGAUCAACGCUGACUACUGAAAUAGCUUCUUUCAACAGGAACAGAGGCCACAAGAACUGGUCAAUUCUAAGUUGGAGGAGACAUUUGGUAUAAUGGAUCCUAAAUUUUUUACAUGCACUCAGACCCCAUUAAUGGUUGAGCACCGUUCGGUCUGUACAAUCUAUUGCGAUGUAUACAUGAACAUAUCUGAGCCAUUGAAAUGAUCUAGUGUGAGCUAAUUAGUUUACUCAUGUUGAAGGAUUGAGAAAUCCCAAUAUUAGAGGUUAAUUGGUUGCAUAUGUUACUGAAACACAGGCAGCAAAACUCAAGAAUUUGUUCUUAUUGACCUCAUCAGAGAUUACAUCAAGUAAACCUCCAUGAACAAUUGUCAUCUUAUUCAAAAUACAAUUUAGUGAUCCAGAAGAUACACAAGUCUGUAACUAUAUACCCAUAUAUAGCAAACUCAUCAAGAUGGGGUAUUUUUUAUUGCCAUUGUUGGUCCACUCUGAACAAUCAAAACUCAUUCAUCCUUUAUGAUAUGAAAAACAUGUAUAGAAAUGCAGCAAUUGAUGCCAUUGGAAAGACAGAAUCCGACUCUUCACCACUCUCACACUUCCCUAAUCGUCACAUCAUGGAUUUUGAGGCCUCCUUUCCACUUCCCACUCCAAACUUCAUACAAGCCAAAGUACAGUUUUCUAUCUGUCGAGCCUUGGUUUUCCCUACCAUUCUGAACGACUUCCCUGUUAAGUGAAUUCGAUUUAUGCCAUCACAGUUUGUCAAGUAAACCUUUUUCCAAUCAAAUUUUCCAAAUUUGCCUCUCUUCACCAUAAUGUAGAUAGGAUAACUACCCCAUCCAAAUGCAUCUGGAGUUAGAGACACCCUGAAGCUCACAUCAUAUGUCUUUUGAGGAUCAGCAUCCACAGAACCAGCUACUUCAAGCCAAGAUACCUGCAGCAGUUCUGCAGGCUUGCCAUCGCUACAAAGAAAGUCCAAUGUCAGGGAGAAAUUCUAGUCACCCAAGAACACUGGCCAUUAUGCUGCCUGGAAAAAUAUUAAUGUUUAGGUAUUUUUGUUUUUCUUUUACGUAAUACUACUUAGGUAAGUUUAGUCUCCAGGGCAGACUCAAUUCUAGACGAUGUAAAAUAUAUACUUGUCAUGAUGAUGUACAAAGAUUGAUGAUAAAUAAUGUGUGAUGCACGAUGUAAAAAAAAAAAAGCCUUAUGAUUAACUCAAGAAACUAUAAACUAAUAAAGCCUAAGGAAGUAUAAACUACUCCAUAAACUAUAUAAAGCCUAAGGAACUACAAACUGAAGCUGCGAUGUAUGAUUAACAUCUUAGGAGAAACUUUACUCCUUCACAUAUAUGGAAAAUCUUGAAUGGUAAUAAAUAGUUCUUUACCAAUAUUCAAAUCACAGGUAAAAAGAAAAUAUUGGCUAAAAAUUUGUUAGGUACUCACUCCCUUGGACCUGGUACGUUCCAAUAGCGGUCAUCAUUCCCCCAAACAAUGUUGAGAGCUCUAGGUUUAACAAUGAUCACAUCGCGCCCGUUCUCCUGCCCACAUGAAAUUCUCUUGUUAUAGCCCUUAUUGGUGCGAUUAAAUAUAAUCUCUCGUAUGAAAAUUUAUCUUGUUGAAAGAAAAGACAAAUCAGUUUCAAUUCGAAGUUUCCACUUUAAAAAUAGAUAGUAAUAUGAAUUGAUUUUUCUCAGAAAAAACAAGUGAAAGCAAAGCAAUUUCAUCCUAGUCCUCCGAUUAACAUAACUAAAUACCUCAUCUAUUUCUUUGAUCAUAUGCACGUAUCAUCAUUAGUUCGUAAAAUUCCAUGAAAAGAAGAUGAAAUGUACUUUUAGGAUAUCCCCAUGAACGCAUACAAAUAUGUCAGCCAAGAAGAAGAAGAGGAAGAAUAUGAUGAACGAUUGACAAAUCCUCGUACCUUGGUGCGACGAGAAGCUUUAGGAUCUGCUUCAUAAUGAGGAUUACUUGAGGACAUUUUGAAUCAAAUAGAAUCUUAAAAACCUUGACAAAGAAUGAAUUGGUUUGAGCCUCUCUUAUCGGCCUCAUCUUAUUUAUAUCACAAAGGAAAAGUGGAAAACGAAUAUAUAAGAGAAUCUAAAGCUUUAUGCAUGCUUGAGUAUAGAAGAUAAAUGACAGCUUCACUCAGCCAAAAGAUUGAUAAUAACGCCCAAAGGAAUCAAGCAAAUGAGCUGGUAAACCACAAUAAAGAAAGUAGCUGACUUUGCCCCACGUAGGCCAAUAAAGUUUUAUUCUCUAAACACGUAAAGAAUAAUAUGAGCUCGAGGCAGGGUGUAAAUGCCAUGAAUUUUUCUCCUUAGAAUUUGUUUAUCUAGGAUUUGAGUGCAUUACAAUUCAUUUCAUAGCAAUCGCACUAAAUUCAAUGCACAUAUCUGGAUUUGAAAUUUCGUGAUCUCUGUAAGAAUAAACUCAUUGGGUUAUGAAUCCUUGCGACAAGAAUAAAAAAAAGGAAAAGAAAAACUUUUACAAGAACUCAUUCAACAACAAUAUGGAAUGAAGAAUGUGGGUUAUAAAAAACUGUGAAUUAAAAUCUGACUAUUUUUUUUUUCUAACAAUAACAAUUGCAUGGGUCAUGCACAAAGCUUACAAAGCUGGAGCAUAUGCUCCUACGUCUUUCCUAGCUAAACUAGUCAGCCAUACAGGAAACUAUUCCUGCCACACAAAAUCAUUCCUCUGGUUAAUGGCAAACUUUGCCAAGUGGUGAGCUACAAAGUUACCUUCUCUUUGGAUAAAGGAGAAGGAACAUUCCGUAAAAUCUUGUCUGAGCUUCAGGAUAUCAAAGAUAACGACUCCAGUCUUUGGAUCAUCUGCCAUUCUCGCAUUAAUCUUAUCAACUAUUCCUUUGCAGUCAGAUUGUACCAGAACCUUCCUCCAACCCCGUUCCUUUGCCAUAUGCAAGGCCUGCCUGAUAGCCAAAGCUUCCUCCACUGCUGGUUCCCCAAGUUUGUCAUCACUGGCUGCCCAUGCACCCAUCAUACUAAUUGCAAGUUUUUAGUUAAUCCAAUAUAUAUUGUUAGUGGUUGUAGUUGUAAUCACGGAAACGUAGAACUAUGCCAUCAAACAAGAUUAAGCACCAGUUCAUUGUAAUGAUCAACAAAACUUCAUAUUUGCAACAUAUACAGAAGGGAGAUAUAGCGAUCAGUUAGAACACAAUUUUGAAAUUUCUUGUACUUUUCAAAUCUGUUCAUAAUUUUACAGAUCUAUUUUAUUUGUUAUAUUACAGAUCUGUAAUUUUUAUUGCAUAUUUAACCUAUUAUUAGGGCAGUGAUAUAGAUCAAAUCAUACUGGACGAUUUUUAGCAACUUGUUAAUGAAAUUUGCUUUUUAUAUAUAAAAAAAGCUUCAUUUUGUUAAUUAAACGAGGAAGGGAAAAAAAAGAAAUAAAGUAGAACGAAUUCUCAGCAUUUGGGACAAAUCAGUUUUCUAAAACCAAAAUACUGAUAAAUUGAAAGGCUAUAAUUCCUGCAAGGCCCGGACAUGCAAAUAAGUCCAAAAUAAUCCUUUCGAAAAGCAUCAGUAGCCCCAUGAUAAUCUCUUCAAAUCAACCUUAAAGUUGCCCACGAGAGAACUUGGUGGUUGAUGUCUAAUGUUCCUACAUAUGAUAUGACGAGGCAUUCACAAUUUUCUUAGACAUAAUUUCAUUGGUGAAAAAAUAAUUUGUCAGUAAAUCAAGAAGAACCGUCUAUAUAUAUAUAUAUAUAUAUAUCUGUCUGAAAAUAUGAGUGAUUCUUUAAACUAUACAAUGAAUUGCAGCCAUAAUAUUACAACUAAUAUGAAAUGAGCAUAUCCAAAUCUCAUCCCUGUACUUAGGUAUCAAAAUGUUCAAAGGCCUCUUUUAUCUUAUAACACGGUGGAAUCACCAUUUUGAUCAAACUUCCUGCAAUAACCAUGCAUCGCUAGCCUAAAAUAUAUACUAGUUUGAGUGCCUUCAAUUGUUGCUGAUCAUUAUUCGAUCACAGAUUUGACACCAAAAUAUACAAUAACGCACACGACAUGUGGAACAAACUUUGCUUAUUGCAUCCCUAUAUCCAAACGAUUUGAUUCCAAUGCACUUUGUUUCUUUUAAUUUUCAACGUCCAUCACUCUUGAGAAGAAAAAAGCGUAAUUAUUCUUGAAGCAAAAAGGCUUUCAUAACCUUAACGGUGUCAUAUUCUGGCCAAAAGCUUUGUGGAAUUUGUUAAACAAAACCAUAAAAGCCCUACGGAGGCCAAGUGUCAAAUAGCCUACAUUUAUAUCAUGUUAAAUCAUCAAGUCCUCUAUUGUCAGAUCAAGUAGAAUUCAUUUACUAUUGCAAACACUGAUAAGAACGUCCACCGAUUUUCUAGUCAUAUAUUAACAUAUCAACAAUGUACACACAAUAGGAUGCUAACUGAAAUUUUGAUCUAGAAUAUUAGCCUGUUCUGAUGAUGUAAGAAGUUAAUUAACAAAAUAACCAAGCUAGCAUAAAGAUUUUUUUUUCUUUCUUUUUUUUUUGCGGGUACAGGUGAAUAAUUUACUAGUCUAAUAUGAGCAUUAUGUGAUUUGUUAUAUCCCGUGGACACUGGAAAAGGAAAAUGUAAAAAAAAAUAAUAAUCAAAACGUAAAGAAAUUGUGGGUCAAAUUUUCAAAAAGUUAACGAGUUAUGUACAAAAACAAAAAAAAAAGUUAUCUCUCAAUUAUUCCCUGUCAGUCAUAUUCUCCUGAUGUUUGAUGUAUGUAGCAAAAGAAAACUACGGAAAGUAGCACUUAGUUUAGCACCUGGUAAUCGAAAAUAUUGUUGUCUAUCAACUCUAUUUGACACCCCCUCAAUAUUCUUGAAGCAAAAACUUUUAAAAAUGCCCACAAUCUUAGACCAAUGAGGGCGGCGUUGAAAGCAAAUGGGAAUGUGUAAAGCAACUUGAACUUGAACAGCACUGCCACAAACAGUCGAAUAAGCCGUACUCGUAUUAGAUUAAUCUUUCCGUCCACAUCGCUUGUGUGGGUUCUUCAAUCGGAACUUAAGUUAUAUGGGGGUCUCAUCCUGUCACCAAUUGAUUGGACGUGGAUUCUUUGUGAGUCCUGCUUAGGUUUAAUAGACGUAACUUUUGAGUGUUUCUAAUCUAAUUGUAUGUGUGUGUGAGAGUUUUGUCCGUUUCAGAAAAAGUAUUAGAUUAAUCUAAUACCCCAGCCUACUUUAAAAAAUUGGAAAGGUUGGCUGAAGAUUAAUUUACUAAGCCUUAAUUUUGGAUAUUUAUAAGAUAUUAAUCCUACAAAAGACUUGUUGCAUGAAACUAUUGGGAUCGUGCUUUAUAUAUAUAUAUACACACACAAAAAAAAGGUAACAGUAGUAUUUUUCAAAUUGAAACACAUUCUAGAACAUAUAAAUUCUCAAGCUUUCUAGACGAAAUAAACAAAUGAUAUAGAAACUAAAGAGCCCAAAUACAGCCCACCCCCUUACUUUGCAUCAGAUAAGGCAUUAUAUUCUGCAUGGUGAGUUUUUGUUGUGCUGCAACAAAGUGAAACGAACGUCUGACAUAUUGGAUGACAUUUGAUUUCACUUGGCAACUUGAAGAAGCUGCUACAAUGUAUUUUGAACUUGCCCACACAAAGAGAAUAAAACAGUACUUAAAAGGGACCAAUCUUUCUGGUUCUACUUUCGGCAAACCCUAAAAGGAUGAAGGUAUGUACUCCACAACUGUCAAUGAUAAUUUCACCAUGCAAUGCAGAUGUUAAAGUAACAAAUGUGGAAGCUAAAAUAAUUUUUUUCAAGAAGCGAGAAAAUUUAUUAGGAUAUUUUUGUAUAUUAAUGUGUUAAUGUCUGUAUUUAUUAUUUUUAGUGUUUACGUUUGUUCUUCUUGUAUCUAUAUUGCAAGGUGCAAUUCUUGCUAGCAAUUGUAGAGCCCUUCAUCCAACUUCAAAUUAAGAUUCUGGACUGCUAUUGUCAGUGCCUGGAGUUAUAUAUCUAAUCCUACAAGUUACAAGUUGGCAGAAUUUGCCUCUCACUGCUCUCUUUUCCUUUUGCAAUCUGUAUUCUAUGUCCUCUAAAGGCACUUUACAAGCUUUUAUGCAUAUCAAAAGGUUAAAGGUUUCCGCAAGCUACACGUAAGGAUUCUGAAAACUGUCAUUGCCGGGGCAUCCUAAUCUUACAAAUUGGCAGGAUCAGAAACCUAGACAAUUGCAGGAUUUGCAAGAUCAGGAACAUCCCCUGAGGUUUUUAACAAUUACAGAAAGCUUCCCAUAGGUUUUGAAAAUUAUAUAUACCUCUCCUAUAUUGUUUAUGUAACAGUAUAAGUCCAACAACUUAGAUUUUCUCCCAAAAUCCUAAAUUGUUUUUUUUUUUGUACAAAACUGAAAAAAAAAAGUAUCAUACUCAAUCACUUUCUUCUAUAUUUUAAUUCUUAACAACUAUUCAAGUACAAACUCAAGUUCUAAAUGUGAGUACACUACAACAAAAAUGGCCUUUAACGGCAUUUAAAGGUGUCAGUAUAGAUAAUCUAACCUGACACUUUAUCUAUCCUCACACCUAGGGCGAGUGUUGUCCCUUCCAAUGUGGGGAUAGCCUCAAAUCUUUAGCAGCAUUCAAAUGUGUCAGGAAUACCAUGCUGCUAUAGCAUUCCCUCUGCCAACAAAAACUUUUUUUGUGAUAAUCGAAAGUGUCAGUAUAGCAUUAGAACAUCAGUAGCAGAUCAGUAGGAUAUCCAAUUUAUGAAGGCAUCUUGAGUUGUCUUAAUAUAUGGCUUUAAGGACACGUAGCCAUGUGAAUUUACACUGCUUUGGACGACACGCCCAUUUGUCAUUAGUGUUUUUCGAAGCUAAGCUAUGCUGACACUUUUAAUUGCCAGGAGUUUUUUCCCUGUUUUUUUUUUAUAUGGAAGCAACCUGCAAUUAGUCCUCCCUGCUGUACAUUCCAUCAACCAGAAUCCCAAGGGACUUGUAAAAUUAUCCCAAAGAGCAGAAUGCAUAUAGCAAUUUAAAAGAAGAAGUCGAUACUCAAAUAUAAUUCAUUAAAUUAAAAGUCGGUAACAAGUACAAACGUAGCAAAUAUUAAAAUCCCAAACAAGUACUAAAACAUUCUCAUGUACACAAACUUGAAAUACUUUCUUGUGCACAAACUAAAAGAUUCUCAUCCCUAACAAGUUGAAAGAACUAACAGUAGCUUCCAAACUUUACAAUGAAAUGAGAGCUUUCAGUCAUAACCACGAAGUC